RNAcentral lists this long non-coding RNA (81812 nucleotides) under Coffea arabica (coffee). Its description in RNAcentral is "long non-coding RNA (CARA_LNC006914)". The record is from RNAcentral. Lineage: Eukaryota; Viridiplantae; Streptophyta; Magnoliopsida; Gentianales; Rubiaceae.
UAAAGCCAUGUAACUCUGGAAAAAUCAUCAACAAAGACUACAAAAUAUUUAAAACCUAACUUUGAAGUGACUCGACUAGGACCCCAAACAUCAGAAUGAACUAACAAAAAAGGUUCAGAAACCCGUUUAUUGACUCUAGGAGCAAAAGAAACACGAUGAUGCUUUCCUAACUGACAAGACUCACAUUCUAACGAAGAUAAUUGAUUCAAAGUAGGAACCAACUUUUUCAAAUUUUGUAAAGACGGAUGACCUAAACGACAGUGAAUUUCAAGAGGAGAAACAGUAGCAGGACAUGCUAUCGGACCAUUGAAGUUGAGAAAAUAAAGACCAUUAUGCUCAUGCCCUCCACCAAUCAUCCUCUUUGUCUUCAAAUCCUGAAUGACAACAGAAUCAGGAGAAAAAGUAACUGUACACUGUAGAAAUUUAGUGAGCUUACUAACAGACAUUAGAUUAAAUGGCAAAUUGGGUACGUAAAGAACAGAAGAUAGCGGAAGUGAUGGAUUAAUUUCUACAGUGCCUAGUCCUUUAACUUUAGUAGUAGAUCCAUCAGCUAAAGUAACAUGAGGAAAGGGAGUUGACUCUUGAAAAUUAGAAAAAAUUUUAGAGGUACCUGACAUAUGAUCAGUAGCCCCGGAAUCAAUAAUCCAUGGGUCAUUACCUUUUUGUGCUAAAGAAGCAGAGGGAAGAGAUGCGUGAUUUGUAGCUUGGUACUGUAGGAAUUUAACAUAAUCUUCCUCAGAUAUAGUAACAGUUUUCUGGGACCCAUGUGUUGAAGAACUUGAUUCAACUUGGUCAGUGAUAACCGUAUUAACAAACCUUUCAACCAUAGCGAAUAGCACGUCAAACGAAAGAACGGGUCAAAACUUGAGACAAACGCGUGAACAGUAACGGCAUGAACAGUAACUACGUGAACAGUAUCGGCGUGAACAGUGCCGUGAACAGUAUACGUGAACAGUGCCGCUAUGAACAGUGCGGCGUGAACAGUGAUUUGCUAGAUGUUUUACCCUAACCCUAGGACUUUUGCUCUGAUACCAUGUCAACAGGUAUCUUGGGAGGAAAACAUCUAGUCACACUAUUAUGAGUGACCAACUAGUAUUUAUAGGAGUACAAACCUAACAGACUAUUUACAAGAAUACCCUUACUAAUUUAUUAUCUAUAAGAAUACUAAUAUUCUCCUAACAAUGAGAACUUGUGUUUCUGCUCUCACCUAUGGUAGCAUCGCGAAAGACAAAACUUUGACCCACUUGGCCAUAUUAGGUAUGCUAUAUAUGUGAUGAUUUUUAAAGUUUUUUGUUAUGGUAGUGCCUUUCUGGGUCAUUCCAGUUGGUAUUUGAUCAGGCUCCAUGUGGUUCCAUGACAAGAUUAACUGGGCCUCUCAGGGCUUCAAUAAGGCAAGUUAUUAUGCGAGUAGGGGUCAUUGCAUUUCGUAUUAAGUUAGCAUCUGUGUGGUCUUUGUUAAGGAUGGCAAUGGGUGCGGCACCCGCCCCACGGGGGGCUAAUGCCCCCCCCCCCCCCGGUUUAGAAACGGGACGGGGGAGUGUACUCAUGCGCCAUCCUCCGCCCUGCCACCUGCUUAAAAAAAAUAAAUAUAUAAAUAUAUAAAUAUAUAUGUAUAUAAUUAUAUAUAUAAUAUUUAAUUUAAUUAGUUAGAAACUUAUGAUAAUUAUAUUAUUAGUUAUAUGUAUUAUAUAAUGUAUAUUAGUAUAUGUAAUAUAAUUGAUAUUAUCAUUAUACUAAUAAUUAUAUAUGUCUACUAAUAGAAAUAUUAAUUAGUUAUAUUAAAUUUACUAAUACAUUUAUAUUAAAUCCCUAAUUACACUUAAUACAAUAACAUCUUUUUCUCAAAAUGAAAAGCACAAGCAUAAUAAUGAAUUAGUGAUUGGAUUUGUGUCAAAAGUGAAAACUUGACUACUUUAAUUGUAUUUAUUUCAUCAUGUUAGAUUGUAUUCAAAUAACUUUUGUUUGAUUGUUUUUGUAAGUUUCAAUUGUGAAAUUACAAUGAAUAUGGUGAUGUAUUGAUAUUUUAAUACUUGAUUAUUUGCUAAAAUUUAACUAUAAUAAAAUUAUAUAACAAAUUUUAUUAGCCCCGCGGGGGAAGCGGGGCAGGGGGCUAGGGAGGGUUGCCAUCCUUAGUCUUUGUGGGGAUUAGCAAGAACUUUCUGGGUGUCAACAAGGAAAGUUGUUAAGCUAGUGCAGAGGGUUAUCCCCCUUUAGUUUAAGCUCCUGACAUGACCAUUGUGUUAAAAGAAACAGUGUUUGAACUGUUUUAUACACUGUUGAGGAGGGUUAAGGUAUGUAUUAUGAACACUCUCAGAUAUAUAUUAAAGUCAAAAAUGGAACUUUUAAUACUACUUAAAUUUUGGAAAUAUACCAGUGAACUUUUAAAGUUUGUUGUCAUUAUACAUCGAGAUAAACUCAGGAAAAAUUACAGUUUUGGAGUAUUAGAAUAAACUUUAAGUUUAUUGUUGUCAACAUAUAUUAAGGUAAACUGAGGCGAGAAAUCUAAAUCUGGCAUCUUACUGAUUUUUUUAUGUGAAUGCUUUUUGGAAUUUCAUGUUAAUGGUUGAUUAAGGUUUACUAGUGAAUGAGUUUCAGUCAGGCCUUCAGAAUAUUUAAUCUUCUGUUUAGUAAUUUUAACUUGACGCACAAACAGAAGUGAUCUUAGUUUUCAAGAACUUUGGGUUCUUUCAGCUGUGGGCUCCACUGAAACUAGAUUCAAACUGAUUCAGACCCAGAUUACUGGCAUGGAACAAAAUGAGAUACCAUUUCUAAUUUCUUUCUCCACAGAACUUGUCAUUACACUACUGCAAUCUUUUAUUCUCUCUCUCUCCCCCCCCCCCCCCCCCCAAAACAAAAUAUCUGAAGCAUUUUGUGUCUACCGUGUCUCCCUAUCUGCCUUCCAAAUUUGGGGCAAAUAAUGUUUUUGUCUUAAUACUGGGCAAUAGUGGGACCCAAACCCAUGAUGCUUGUGCCAUAUGUGAAUCAUCAGGGAAAUCUUUGGGGCAAGUAUUAUUAGGAAGUUGACUCGUAAUUUUGGAAUUCAGACUUCUCAAGUAAAUUAAUCAUGUUCUUCUCAUUAUUCAUCUGCUGUUAUACUUACAGUAAUUAUGCAUAUUUGUCUUGUUCUUAUUUGUCAGACUUCUUGUACUAUCAAGAAACAUAGUGAACAACGUUUAAAGAGUUCUUUGACUACUGAUGCCAACAAAUCUGCCAAUUCGAACUUGACACUAUCUAAGAGUGCUGAUGCAUCAAGAAUUUGGAUAGAGGGUUUGCAGAAAACGACGCAUCAGGAGGUUCAUUCUGGAGGGACUGUUGAAGUGCGCAAUGAGUCCUCUGUCGAUAAUCAGCAUGAAAUGCAUGCAAGUGUAAUAUCUGAAUCCAUCAUGAGUAAAGAACGAGUUGGAUCUUCUUGUGACUCUGUAGCAACAAAACGCACAUUGGGCUUGAAUGAAGACUUUCCAAGCUGUUUACAAGAGAGGGACAUGAAUAUGACACAACAGCAAUACCGAUAAAGUUGCCAAAUUGUCAACAGCCAACCACAAGAAAGCUAAUUUAGCCAAGGUAUAUGUAUUAUUUAACUCUAAAAUGACUAGAAAAAAUUUUUUUUGGCUAAGUGCCUGGAAAAUUUUGUUCUUUCUACCAUUGCUGAUUGUCCUACUGUGAUUUGUCGGACUACUAUAGGAAAACAAAGACAAGGGUGAAGCAUCAGAUGUUGAGCACCAACAAAUGCGAGCUUCAACUCAUUAUAGGUGAGAACCGGCAGGUGAAGUUGCACAGUUGUGAAACACUGUCCUGUCUUUAUGUAACAGACUUCUCUUGUUCUUUUACUUCUUAAUUAAAAUGCAGCUAGUCUGGUGAAUUUGAUACCACCAAAUUUAGUAGGCAAUCAGGAUGAAUUGCCAGUUGCUUGUUGGUUUAAUACACAAAUCAAUUCUAACAUCCGUUGAUUUAAACCAAUUAAACAUAUGAUAGCAAUAAUAAUCUAUUCGUUGGGACUGAGAUCUUAAAACCAAAUAUCUCCUUUGAUUCAAAAUUUUAGUUCAUGAGUUUGAAUUUAACCAUUUUGGUUGACCUAUAAUGACUUGUUUGACUGAAGCAUUGACUUGUUCUGCAUUUGCUGAAAAUACAAAAUAUGCCAAGCACUAAACUCAACAAGACACAAAGGAAACAUUGAUGCCUAAAUCUAACAUUGAACACUAAAAAGAAAUAUAUAUGACCUUGGGCCAAAGCUUCUUUUGAAUAAUGUAUAUUCAGUCUUGGCCUAAAAACUUCGGUAGUGCACUAGAGGACCAUUAUUGGUCCUGGUUUGGAUUUGGAUUGGUCCAGUUCCAGUAAUGUAAAAAACAAUAUAAAUUUAGCGCUAGACCUGUUCAUGAGAUCCAACCCAUAUUUGAUUAAUAGGUUUCACAAGUAGAUUGGUUAGAUCUGCUUGUUCCCCUGUGACAAGGAGCAUACCUCAUUAUGUAUGUGUGUAUUAGUUAUUUUAUGUUUAUUACGCCUUAAAAGUAUUUAUAACUAUUAGCCAUUGGAUCGCACCUCUAGUAUUCUCUACAUUUAAAUCUGUGAAACUCUACCCCCGUUUCUGGCAUUUUGCAACUUCUUCACCUAUGCACCACAGCCCAGUGCAUUCUCUCUCUCUCUCUCAUGCGCAGACAGACAUAUUCAAAAAGGACAAUACACGAAGUGUGUUUCUGUGUGAGUAUAUAAAAAAUUUGCUUAUUGUGGGCUCAAGCCGACUUGCUUUAGGUGAGUUGGCCACCAAGUGAAGCAUAAGGUGCAGGCCUAGCUGCAGGUCUGGGGUUCAAACCUCUGCACCCUGCAGUCAAAUCUGAAUGGUGUACUGUAGUGCACCCCUUUGGUCCAGAGGUGGAAACUGCUCCUUCUAGCCCUCCUUUGCCUAGUUGGGCCCUCCCUUAAACAGGUUAGAGUAGGAGUAGGAGCAGUAGAGUUGACGAUUGACCCAAAGGAAUAAAAAGCUUAUUCUGGGCUCAUAUGUGCAUAUCUACUGUGGUUCUAGUAGUGCCUCUCACACAGGAAUAGAUUCAUAACUUUGGAAAUUUUGAAGAACUUUCUUUCCUUAUUGACACUUUAACUCAAGCAUGACUUUAUGGAAAAUCAGUUCUUGGUUUCCUUAUGAUCAAUAAUUCAGUGUUUCACUUUUAUUUUUUCCCUAAUUUUGUUGUUGUUUAUUUUUCCAGCUUCAGUUUUGGUGUGACUGGUCUGUUUGCAGUGAGAUCAUUUUCCUUCACUAUAAUGGUGUAGCAAAAAUGUUAAAAUAAUUAAAGUGGAUAAUAGCCAUAGUGACUCUUGAUGAAUAUUAACUAUCAAACUUGAGAAUUGAGGCAAGAGUCCGCCUAAUGAUGGUGCUACAUCUAAAUAUAUUGAAUCCUUUGAAAUGGUUUUGGAGUGAACUAUGGAUGAAUGUGUUCCAUCUAUCUGGUGAUUUAUGUUACUGAAACUUUGUGUCAUUGUGGUACAAGACUUUUCACAUGUGGUGGUUGGCCAACUUCACUGAACAUCUAAUACCUCAGUACCAUAUUUUGGCAUUACAUUUCACACAAUGUGGGUCCAGCAAGGCAUCUGCAUGUUUUAGGCCUGUAGGAAUAUGGACCGGAUGAUGCACAUGUCAAUCUAUCUGAUCUGGAUCCUAAAAGAUGUCUUGUGGAUCUGCCUGCUUAUAUCUCUAUCCGCUUAUACGAGCCCUUAUUCUGUAAAACUGUAAAGUUAGAUCCAUUUUCCUUCUGAUGGUGAAUUAAUGAACCAGAAGAAUGUUCAAUCUUCAUACCUCCAUUGUUUUCCUCAUUGGACUUUAUUGAUAAAAGGUAGCAAAACUCCGCAACUUUUUUUUUCUCUCUUUUCCUUUUUAAAAGACAAGUAUUGCUAGGAUUAUACCUGAAACUGAAGAUUAAGACAUUCCUUUAAUAUUGUGGACCCAAGCUCUUUAUGCUAUUCUCUUGCUCCAUCAUGUCAAGAUGCAGGUGCCUCUUCCCUCAAACCUAUUUAGCCUUUCACGUCAUCUUCCUUUUAUUUUCACUUCUUUAAUCACGUGUAUCGGAAUACCUGAUUCGCAAAAUCUUUACAUUGUGGUUAUCAAUCUGAAAUUUCCCUUGUAUAUGUAUAUGCUUCCACCUUACUGGAAAGUACCUUUGAUAUAUUUGGCUUUGAUUCACAAUUGCUUACUAGUAUUUUUGGCAUUACAACUGUCAUGGCUAUAGGAUGUGUAGCUCAAAUAGGUCCUAUGAGAGAUUAUGUCUUUCCAUAUUAUCCUUCAUGAUAAAUGGUUGCUUUUACCCAUAUAUUUGCGUUCCACCGUCGAAAAUAUAUUAUUUUUAACAAGAUUUGACAUGGAUGAUUAUAGCAAUGAUGGGGAGAACUCUUCUGUCCACAGCAAAAGGGAAACCUCUGGUGCAUGUGACUCUGAUUGCGAAGGAAACUCACUCAAGAAGACAAAAUUUUUUGCUGAAGAGAUUCCUCUCCCUGGUAAUCUCUAGAUAUGUCUUAAUUAAAAUCACAAUAAUUCAGUUUAUCUUGAAAAUUUAUAUAACAUGAAAGCAUCUUGUAUAAAAUUCAACACCUGUAUCUCUUUUUUGUCAAGCCAAUAACUUAACUGUUGUUGGCUCCGUUGGCCAUUAUUUUGUGGUGCACCUCUACUGCUGCACUGCCUUCUGAACAUUACUUAUGUUUUAGUGUGCUUUAAUACUAUUUUCUUCUCUCUGAUAUAUAUCGGUCAAUGUUCUUGGUCAACGCAUGAUACUUUGUGGAACUACAGUUUCCAUUAGAGAGCAGCUAACAGGUUCUAUUAAAAACUAAACAUUACAGGGGAAGUUACGUUAAGGAUUUUGAAUAACUUUUGAAGGGUGCAGAUAACAUAUUAUGUUGGUGAUAUGGAUAUGUAGUGUGACAUCUCUGACUUCUAGCUGCAGAGAAUACUAAGAAGAUACGAAGAUCAAAAGUUGCGGCAUCUAAAGCCAUCAAUGUGAACAAGGACAUGGUAAAGGUUCUUCUGGCUUUUUUCUCUUUGUGCUUGAUAUGCUUCUAAUAACCACAUGCUUCUUAAGAUAAAGUUUGAUUCCCAUAAGUUAGCAAUUUCUAAUGACCACAGCUUCCAUCUAAAUAAACAAUCUAUAGUGUUCAUUUUUGCGCCACAAACAACUAAUCUCUACAUCUUUGUGAUGACUUUUGUGUUGUAUCAUUUCAGAUUGCAUGGAGGACUCGAAGACAGAAAGUUUAACUUGGUUAACUGUUCUAUUAACGUUCUUGUCAGUAAAUUGUUUGUCUCUAUGCCAUAUGACGUGUUUUAGUGAAUUCAUACGUUCACUAUUAGUGCAUAUGUACGACUUUUUCAUCUUGUUUAUGGAGCUCUGUCACAAAUAUAGUAUCCCUAGGUUGGGAUGCUCCUUGGUUAUGUAUUUCGUGUACGGAUGAUGCAGAUUGUUGGAAUUGCUGUUGGAUUUUAGAUUGACGCCCAGUCUGAGGACUGAAAAGUUUUUAGCUGAUUGAACAAUUAACAUUCCUUGUAAUUGUUCAGUUAAAAUUUUGUUUAUCAAGUCCGGCCUUGGAACUCUACCUUGAGGUUAAAUGAUAUGUGUACCCUCUGAUUCUUUUCAAUUUCAUGAGGGGUAGCUCUUCUUUUUGGUUUAUGGAAUGGAAAAGACUAAGCGGUAAGUGAAAAGUGGGCUGGCUAAGAUUAAGAUUAUGUAGUAAUACAGAGUAAAGAUCCAUUUCUAAUGGUGUUGACACAAGGGGGGAAAAAGGCUUUGCAUUAUUGGGGUAUUUUUUUUAAAAUUAAAAAAAUCAUCCAUCACCACCCCCUCCUUCCUCUCUCCUCCUCCCUUUUCCUCCCUCUUCCUUCCCUCCCAUUUUUCCUACUUGCAAAACCCUCCACCUCCCUUCCAGAAGCCAGUUGCGAUCAGAGCUUCUCAUUGCGGGAUGGGGAGGGUUUUUGGGCAAAGGGGAGGGGAGGAAGAGGGAGGAGGAGAAAGGAAGAAGUAUUUUUUAUAUUGUUGAAAUUGACACGGUAAACAUCAAAUCGUUCGAGACCAGUAUUGUUGUUAUAACCCCAAGCCAGACCACCAAUGUGCUUCUAAAAGCCAAGCCAGCCUCUCCAACUGUCACCUUCAUCAUGGCUGUCGCCUGCCACACCCUACUUUACAGGGUUAGGUACCUUAUUCUACUAUUACCAGGAUCCUUGAAUGCCAAAAACAUGCUUCCCACGCAAACAAAACGGUCAUAAAUCCAACCCUGCCUGCACUACUGAAUGCCACUGGCUUUCUUGCAAACUUCACCAGGAAAUUUCGUAGCUUAGCCACAACCAAAUUUCCAGCAGAUGUUCCACAGACCAUGCAAAACAAGUUUUUCUUCACCAUACGACUUGGAUCGAGUCCUUGCCCUGCUAACAAAACUUGCCAAGGACCAAAUGGCACAAAAUUUGCAGUUUCAGUUAACAAUAUUUCUUUUGCUCUCCCAUCAACAACUCUUCUGCAUUCCUACUUCUUUGGGAAACCAGGUAAAUCAAAUGGUGUUUUCACCACUGAUUUCCCAACCCCAACCCCCAAAUCCAUUGAACUAUACUGGAACACUGCUUAAUAAUACACCAGUUAGCAAUGCAACUUGGACUGUCGGGUUACAAUUUAAUACGUGUUGAGGUAGUGUUGCAAGACACUAGCAUUCUGGGGCCAGAGAGCCAUCCUCUUCACCUGCAUGGUUUCAACUUCUUCGUCGCUGGGGAGGGGUUUGGAAACUAUAAUCCAAACAAUGACCCUUCCUAAUUCAAACUAGUGGAUCCAGCUGAAAGGAAUACAGUGGAGGUUCAAUCAGGUGGCUGGAUCGCCAUUCGGCUCUUUACAGACAAUCCAGGUACCUUGCAUGAAAAACAAGAUGCACCUCUUACCAGAAAGAAAUAUAGUCAACUUUAGACCAGAUCAAUGGAUUUUCAAGUACUAAAAAAAACACAUUGACAUGUGGUCAUACUGCUGUUUCUCCGUUGAGCCAACGAACUUGUACUGAUUGUUUGCCAUGUCAAACAGGUUUCAAGGUUCAUCUUUUGUUUUCAUCGCAUGAAUCAUAAAGAGAAUUUACCUCAUUAUCACCAGUAGCCAUGAAAUUCAGUUGUCCUUCUAAGGAUGAAGACCUAUUGGCUGCCAUGAAAUUCAGUUGCCCUUCUAAGCAUGAACACCUAUUGGCUGCCAUGAUAAUUUACUCCUAAGUAUGAAAAAUUUAGAAGAUGAAAUUUUGCAAAUAAUCUACAAGAUUAAAAGAACAAGAAAAACUCAAAUCAACCAAAUUAGCAAAUAAGAACCACAAUUAAAGAUAAGGAGAGUAGAGAAAGAGAAAUCAAACACAAUAUAUUUACAGUAGUUUAGUCACCCUCCUUGGUGCUUGUAGUCACUCUCAACCUUUUUCCAAACCUUAGUGUUUCUUCACUAUUGUCCCUCUUUCAACAAGUGAAGCAACAAAACCAUAUACACUUAAGGAUCACCUUUCUUCCUCGAAUUCAUUAAUUCUUGAGCCAAUGUUUUUAAUCCUCUUUAGAGCAACCUCAAUCUAUUACAAAUGAGGAUUACCUCUCCAAGGUUUUACUUCUCUUUAAUAAGAAACCUCACAUGAACACUCAAAUAAUUUCAUGUAUAGUAAGAACUAACACUCUAGUAGUCACUCUAGUAGUGUUGAACUGUUGAUAUGAUACAAAUGAAAAUUCAUUAGUACCCUCAGUAGUGAGAAUUGUACAAUAGAAGUUCAAGAUUGAAACAUAUUCAAGUUUAAUCUCAUGAUUUAGAAGAAUAGAUGAAAGGUAAUAGGUGACUAUUUUGUGUAGAUUUUGAAUUAUAUUUCAUGAUAUUUUGAGUCACUUUUGGAAUGUUUCAAGAAGAAAAUGGUUCAUUUUGAUUAGAAUUUGUUCUAAGUAUAAUCUAGCAUUUAGUUGAAAUUUUGUCCCUUUUUCACUCACGAAAGUUCAUAUUUUGCAGGGUUUCUAGAUAUCAACUUUAAAGUUGGAUGCAAGAUGAGAUCAUGAUGCACUUGAUGAAGUACAAAAGUUCAUGAAAUUGGUGAACUUUGAAGGCAAAAGCUGCACACAAUUUAACCUAGAUGGAUGAAAAUUUGUCAAGCAAGAAAUGUCCAAAAGAAAUCCAUAGCCGGAUUCAUGACGGGAUUCACAACCGGAUUUAGAGCAUAAGCAAGGCUUUGAAGCACUAAAAUUUCACAAAGAUAGGAACCAAUCCGUAGCUAGAUGCCGGAUUCACGGUAGAGACUAGUUGAGGAGUUUGUUGACUAGUAAGAAUAAUUAUUUAUCAACUUUCUCUUGUUUACUUGUUUCAUUUGUGAAUUAUUAUGAGAAAGAUAUAAACUUUGGUAUUAAAUUUGAUAUAUCUAGUUAAAUACUCUUGUUCUAGGUUUAGAUGCAGUUAUUUGUAUCUUAGUUACAGAUUGAUUUAUGAUUCAAUAUUACUAUAUCUUCUAUUUGUUGAUCUAUUUAUUCCAAACUUUAGCAUUUAUAGUUGUUUAAUCACUAAUUGCAGAUCAUCCAAUUGCUAUUAAUUAAUGAAAGUUGUUAGCAACAAUGAAAAAGGAAUAGAUAGAACUUACAGAGUAGGUACACGAAAAUAGUGGUAUUUCCUUCCUCCUUUAAUAUAAUCAUUUAACUUUAUGUGAUUAAAGUUCUUUACAUCCUAUAUUUGGGAUACCAUGGCUACUCCCAAAUACACAAUGCAAGAAAACUUCUAAUGAAAAUUCAUAAAAAUCAAGUAGUCAACUUGUUGGUCAGGAAUCUUUGAUUUCGAUCACUGAACUAUAUGUGAUUAAAAUUGUAGUUCACCAAACAUCAAAGAUGCUGUGGCUACUCUCAGACAGAUAGUGUGCUAAACUUUAUAAGAAUAGUAAAAUAGUCAAACAAUUAGUAUUUUGAUAAAAGAAUUUCUUAAUUUUCUUUUUUUAUAUUCAUUUUUAAAUCACCAAUCUUUAUGUGAUUAAAAUACCUUAUGCAUCAAAUAAUUGAGAUACAAGAAAAACUUUAUAAAGAAAAUUUUAUGAAGUUCAAAUGUAAUCAACUAUACUAAUGUUGGCGUCAUAAUAUGAGAUAAAUAAACAUAAAUGUAGUGCACAAAAAUAGUACAUAAUUCCAAAUAAUAAUAGGAACGUAGAGGCAAAACUAAUAUUGAAAUCAUGCCUUUAAAUAUUUAUCUCAUAAUAAAGCAGUAUAGAUUCAAUAAGCAUGCAGAUCCAUUCACAUAAAGUCAACAAAUUAUCUUGCAUAGAUUAAUAUAAUACUAAUCCUUUUGAUUGUUGAAUGAUACAAUAUAUUAUAAGUUUCCUAAAUGUAUGAUUGUUUGAUUAUUGCAACAUGUUAGAGUCUUGAAAUUAUACCACAAAUCUAAUUGGCAUAUGCAUUAAUGCAAUAUAUCAAUAUAGCCAAAACAUGCCUUGGCAUGAAAAAUGAAUCAAGCAGUCUGCAUGAUAUAGAUGUUCAGCCAACUUAAAUAUAAGAAUGUAAGAUUCAAAUGAAUUACAUACUGAUGGUUGAAUAACAACUCUUUGUAUGUUUCUCGGAUUGUUAUACUAUUGAUAACAACAAUCAAUACAUAUAACACUCACAAUCACAAAUGUGUAAGUCCAAGAAACAUUCAAAUUACUUGCAAGUCAAACUAGACUGUUGGAGAAAAUCUAAAUGAAUUGCAUAACCAAAUAAGAUAUCAUACGAAUGAUACAUUUGCAUGGGAUUAGUCAAUAAAUCUCAAUUAUUGUGAAAAUGAGAUCAUAGAUCCCAUGACAAAUUAAAUUCAGUUCGUUUAAACUUGAUACGAAUCUCUAAAACUUUUAUCAUAUUGCCAAUGAAUCAUAAAAGUUAUAAGCUGAACAACAUGGCUAGAUUUGGCUCUGAUACCACAUGUUAAACUAAUUAUGUACAUAUGAAUGUACUAUGCAGCGGAAAUCUAAAUAAACUUAUCUCCAACUAUUGCUGUCAAGCACAAAUUGAUCCAUCCUUGUCUCUUUGACUUCUUCUUGUCUAUUCCAACAAAACAAAAUAUGUAGAAGAAGAAAUUAGAGUAAGGAGCUUCUAACCUAUGCCUAACCAAGAAGAAAUUAGACUGCUGAUGGAAUACCAUAUGCUAUUUAUAGGCUAGACUAGGGACCCUUACUGGCAAUUAUCAAAAUCUCUAGGUUUCCUUUCAUCAAGAAAAUCUUGCCAUAAUCCAUAAACUUUUCUGACUAAUUGAUGGAUUUGAUUUGAUUGGUUAACUAAUUGAAUAAGAUAUCAAUUAGCAGAAGAUACCAAUCAAUCAUUAACAAAUGGGGGAUACUAAUUAAUUAUUAACAAAAUAUCAAUCAAUUAAUUAGAAUAUCAGUCAGUUUAAAAUCAAUCAUGUGGAUCAUAAUUGCCUCUAAAAGAGGCAAGUGUUACAUCUUGGUCAUAAAACUGAUUCUCAAGUUUGAUAUGAUGAAGGCCUUUGACAGUGUUUCAUGGACCUUUCAUGCUUCAUUGCAGCAACAAUUUGGUUUCUCUUAUUCGCUUUGUUACUUUAAUUCUCAAUAAUCUUUCAUUAGCUUGGUUUUCAGUUUUGGUCAAUGGGAAACCGCGUGCUUCUUCCAAGCAUCACAAGCGCUUAAGCAAGGAGAUCCUUUCUCUCCUUUCUUGUUUAUCUUGGCGUUAGAAGCCAAAAUAUUUUAGUGUCUUCAGGCAAAGUUACCUCAUUUGGUUUACCAAGAAACUGUAUUUCGAUAUCUCAUUUAAGCUUUGUGGACGAUUUUGUUAUUUUUACUCGAGGUUAACGCAACUCUAUUAAAGCUCUUAUGGUUUUUCUAGAUUUGUAUCAAAGAGGUUCUAGUCAAUAUUUAUUUCUUCUAAAUGUUUGGAUGCAAAUGCUAGAUUGCCAGCUCAAUUUACAAGUAUUCAAAGGAAAGAUCUCCAUUUUGUUUACCUUGGUUGUAUGCUGUUUAAGGAGAGGAAGAAAAUCUCUCAUUUUCAACACCAUAUAAAAAAUAUGAAUGCUAAAUUUACUGGCUGGAAAGACAAGGCUUUUGUCAGUGCGUGAUAGAAUGGUUUUAAUUGUUGUGUUAGCCAUUCUUUUGUAUACAAUGGCUUUUAUGGAACCACAAAGGCUAUCCUUUCCCUGUAGAGUAUAAUAUCCAAAGUUCUUCUAAGGUGAGAUGAUGGUAAGGAUUCUAGACAUUGGAUGAGGUGUUCUCAGCUGUGGUAUCCCACUGAAGAAAAUGGCUUAGAUUUUUCCAUAUUAGAUGAUUUGUUGGUUGCUUUUAUCUAUAAACUAUAGCAGAAAAUCCUCACAUCAUCAUGUCUUUGAGCCCGUUUUAUGUUUGCCAAGUAUACUUUGACCAUAUUACUAUUGUCCCGCCCUAGUCCUUUUUGCCAAGAACUUGGAAGGUAUGCUAUGAGUUAGAGCAAUAGUUGAAGAGAACUCUACAAGUGUUCUUGUGUGAUGGUCGUAGGUUAUUCUAGUAUGACGAUUGAUUAAGUUCAGGGUCUCGUAUAACUCGAUAAUCCUCCGCUGCCGCUGCCAAACAUGGUUCAAAUGCGUGGUCGCUGUUGCGGUCGUGAUCCGGACUGUUCCACAUCGGUCUCAGCAUAUCGGUUACGGUCUCAGCGAGAAGUAAAAUUUAAAAAAUUUAAUAUUUUAAAAUUGUAAAAAAAAUAUGAUAAACAAAAAUAAUUAAAAAAUUAGCAAAAAUAAAAAUAAUUCAAAUUGAUAUGGGAUGACUAGAACGAUUGGACCAUUUUUAUCCGUCUCGGAGUCGUUUCGGCCGAGUUCUCGGCGAUCCAUUGUUUCAAAAUCAUCUCGUCCUGGUACUGGAACGGAAAGCCGCGUUCCGGUGACAACUUGACCGAGUCUUUGAACCAUACUACCAAAUGCAACAAUCGGUGAUAUUUUUGUAUAUAGAGUUUGGCAUUUUCAAAACAUUGAGGAUAUUCUUACCUACUCCAAAAAAUUGUGGACAUUAAAUACUCUAGUUCACAUCAUGCAAGGUCAAGAUGCUAUAAUCUUCUACCCCUCGAUGAGUGGCUUUUUAAAUGUCUCUUCAACUUUGAACCUUCUUCAGCCUUCAAGGAGUCAUUUUAAUUUCUCCUGAGGUUGAUCUGGAAUCAGAGUCUCUCUCUGAAAAUCUCAAUUUUCUGCAGAGAGAAGGUCAAGAUACUAUAAUCUGGAACCCCUCGAUGAGUGACUUUUUGAAGGUCUCUUCAGCUUUGAACCUUCUUUGGCUUUCAAGAAAUCCUUUAAUUUCUCCAAGGUUGAUCUGGAAUCACAGGCUCUCUCUCAAAAUCUCAAUUUUCUACAGAGAGUUCUUAAUUGCUUACUUUUUUUUCCUGAUAUCUACAUGCAAUUUGGUUUCAACUUUCCAUCCAAAUGUUUGUUUCGCAGAUGUGAGGAAAACUGAAAUCAUUUUUUUAGAAUGUGGUACAGCUUCAUUUGUUUGGUAGAGAUGUGCAACAAGCAGAAAGUGGCUUCAAGUAGAACCUUCAUUGAGAGAAAUGAACUGAUAGAUGUGGGAUAUUAAGGAAUUCCAUGGAUUUGAUGUAAUAGGUGGGAGAAAGGAGCGAAAAUCAAACAAAGACGGGUAGAUGUCCUGGCUUUCAGGCUUAGUGUCAAAUCUUUGUAAAUACAAAAAAUGAUCACAUACAGAAAGAAGCAUAUUACUAACUCAUGCUGUUGAACACCAACCCUGAGAUGAGGAGAGUGAAAAAGAAAAUUUUGAUUUGACAAAAGAUGGACCACUAAUAGAGGGGGCAAAAAAGAUCAUUAGUAAGUCCUAGAAUGAAGAACAACAAUCGUCUUCUAAUAUAUGAAUUGCUGCAGAUCCUUUCUAUUCAUGCUGCAAUUGCCAUAGACUGACUUUGCUGAAUUGGAAUAGCAAGGUCAAGAAUAACCCAGGAGUUAAAAUAAAGCAGUUGGAAGAACAAAUUGCACAAGUCAUAGGGAACAAUCAUGAAGGGAAAAAAGAAAAGAUAGUAGAACUCAAAACCCAGCUAGGUAGGGCAUACAAGGAAGAAUGGAUAUUUUGAAAACAUAAAUCAAGAAAGAAAUGGCUCAAAAAGAGUGACAGGGAUACUGCCUACUCCAUGCAAGUGUAGGUAUUAGAAAAAGAAUGAAUAGACUUUCCAAAUUGCCAAAAGUUGGGGGUGAUUGGUGCAAUAAUGAUCAGGAACUGAAAAAAGAACUAUGUCCAGAAUCUCUUCACCUCAUAUCAACCAAGAGCGGUACAUGAAGUGUUGGAAGAUGUUUCUUACUCAAUACCAAGAUAGAUGAAUAACAAGCUGACUAAACAUGUUGAAACAGAACAAGUCAAAACUAAACUUUUUUUCAAUGCAUUCUACAAAGGCCCUUAGGCCGAAUGGUAUGUCUCUAUUAUUCUUUCAACAUUAUAGCAUAUUAUGGGUGUGAAUGGUAUGUCUCUAUUUCUCUAUUAUUCUUUCAACAUUAUAGCAUAUUAUGGGUGUGGAUGGUAUGUCUCUGUUAUUCUUUCAACACUGUAGCAUAUUAUCGGUAUGGAUGUUGUUAAAGCUAUUCAAAGUUUCUCUCAUAGUAGAUAUGUGCUUAAAUCUUUAAAUGCAAUUUUGGUUACUCUCAUUCCAAAAAUUGCUGCACCCAUCAACCUUUCUAACUACAGACCUGUUAGUCUUUAUAAUAGUCUGUACAAGAUUAUUGCUAAUCUUUGCAAUAGCGACUAACUAGUUAUUCAUUCGUGUAUUUGCACACGCGUACUUUUUAUCUUCUAUAGUUUUUUCUCUUUCACUUUCUUAAUGAAUAUUGAUACCAAAGAACCAAAUUACUAAGUAAAAGUAUUGAAGUUAAACACUAUAAAAAUAAUUAAUUCAUAAAUAGGAUAUUCAAUUUUGCUUCCUUUAAUUAUUGGUGCAAAACACAACAAUUACAAAAAUUAAGUAAAGAAAGUUGGUAGAAAAACUAGGAUUGAUUCUUGUUAAAAAAAAACACUAAAAUCUGAGGAAAUAAAUUGUAAGAUAUGUACACAUGGCAAAAAGAUAGAGCUUUCAUUUGGUAUAACAAGAGAGUAGUAAGUGAACAACUUAACAUGUAGUAAAUUGAACAACAAAUUAUUAUAUGAUAUAUGAUAUAAUAAAAUAUGAUAGAUUCAUUAACAAUUUAUGACUAAUGUAUUGAAUUUUGUAAUAUCUAAAACUAUUAAAAUUUUUAAUAAUAGGAUUUUAUAGUAAAACCAAAUAAUAAGAAUAGAAAAUGUGAUAAGAAAAGAAUUAAAAAAUGGAAAUGGAAAAAAAUACUAUCAAAUAGUGACUGUACAGCGUAUUAUUUUACAUACAUACAUGUGUGUGAAUAAAAAAAAUCAGUUUACAUAGAUGAAAUUGGAAUCAUAACAAUAGUAAAGUGGAAUAGAAUUAUGAAGUGAUAAAUCAGGACCAACAAAUAUGUCCCUGAUCGGCCUGACAUGCACUACUAUACGUAGAUGAGUAGGCAAAAAAUCAGGACCGAGAAUAGAGACACACCCUACUGUAACAAACAAAUGGGAAGCAAUGAAAGCUUGACCAAUGCAUGGACACUUCUCCAAACGUUAUUAGAAGUAUUUGGAAAACCUUAGAGGCUUCCAACUCAUUUUAGGUUGUUCAAGAACCUUGUAGAAUAACCUAAAACUUUGCAUAUAAGAAUUUGUCUUGUAUAGAAGAUUUUAGAGACUAAAUGUAGAAAGACUUAGUGUAGAAUUCUCUAACAUCUUGUAAAGCUUUCUUGUCUUGUCUAUAAAUAGUUGCUAGCUUUAGAUUUAUAAAGACCAUGACAUCAAAUUUCAAGGUUAAACAGAAUUACAUUAGAAAAAGCUAGCAUUUGUGCUUUUUAUUUCUACAGAGAACUAUCAAGCCAUACAACUUAACAAAGUGAAACUAUCAUUAUAUUUUCCUAAAUUAUAUGUAAAUGAGGAAGUUAACAAGACGCUAAAAAGUGCAAAAAAAAAGUUCCACCUUGACUCUUGUCUGCUGCCACCACUCUUCUUCAAUCUCUUCCACCAGAAUACAAGAGCUACAUAGAAACCAUGGCUGCUCGUCUUCAAUCUCUUCUACCAGAAUACGAGAGUUACAUAGAAAUGUGGGGUAAAAUUUUGCCCAAGAAGGGGGCUUCCCAACGCCAACUUGCUUCCUGUUUUGGAAUUGGAACAUCCCCUCCGCUGGCUACUUUCUAAAGCCCAAGGACUAGUAUUGGGAUUUCACCACCUAGUCAACCUAGCAGCAGUGGUACCAAGCCUAAACAUAAAUAUACCCAUAUCUGGCUACCACUCUAGAUUAGAAGCCUCUCUUUUAUUGAUAAGAGCAAACUAUCUAGUAAGGACUAUUGGGAGAAACCUCCUAAAGGAUAUGGCUGUUAGUUUACCCCAUUUUGUUUGUUUGUUUACUUUAUUUUGCUGGUUUAGAAUAGUUUGAUGUUUGUUCUUUUACUUUAUUUUAUUUUGUUUGUUCAAAAAGUAUGAUCUAGGAAGCAAAGUUGUGAAAGGAAAUGAAACAGUCAACAUGCAGUAAAAAACUUGACAGCAAAAAUUUACACAAAAAAAAUAAAUAAAUGUUUCUUGCACCCCAUUUGAGGAAAUAGACUAGUAUGAUGAUAGUUUGUUAUCCCUAAAAUUUGGGGAAAUAUAUAUAUCCCAGUAUGAGUAUGUCUUGGAUUUCGGAUUCAUUCUUGUCCUGAUCCACCCUAGGAGAGGGCUCGUAAUGAUCUUCUCAAAGAUCACAAGGUGCUGAAGCGAUUAGACUUAACAUAAAUGUAGUCACUAGAGCCAUUCUAAAAACGGAGAAAUUAGCACUACUUGGUGAAAUAGGUUCUUUUAGAAUCAAUUUCAAACCAUCUGCUAGAAGUUGUAACAAUUCAAACGAUCCCACUACAUCAGGACCCUUAUAUAUAUAUAUAUAUAUACAUGCUAUUAUAUAUUUGGUGAAUUCUUAUUCUAUCCUUUUGUCUAGAUUUUUCAACCUGAAUACAGACAUAUCCUUUAAUCCAGCAGGAGACCAAGGUUAUGGAGUGGGGGUGCUGAGAGAUGAAUAUGGGAAUGUGAUCGCAACAUUCUACUACAAACAUGUGGGUUAGCCUGAUGACACCACUCUAGUAGAGAUGACUGCCAUGUCUGAUCUCCUCGAACAAGCCCAUGACUAUGCAGUCCCAAAUGAGGUUGAGUGAUAUACACCUUAUUCUCGAAGGUGACUACAGAGAUGCGAUAUUAGCAUAUGAGAACUACAAAAGCGAUUUCAGACUCCUACUACUGCUGACACUAAAGGGAAAGGGAAGGAAAAACCCCCAAAAGCCUUUCAUAAGUAUUGCGGGUAAUGAUGUCAAAAGUCUGCAUAAAUAAUCUGCUUUUGUUACGUAAAUACUUAAAGGUGGCUUACUUACAUCUGAUUUUCUCAAGCGUAUCCUGAAGAUUGAAGGCAAGUGUACCACACUGUAUGUGAUUAGCGUAAAAAGAGCUCAAAAUAGGUUAGCAAAUUUGGAAGCGAAGCAUAAAGCUGUCAAGAUUGAUACAACCAAUUUUGUGUCCCAAAAACAAAUAUACUUGAAAAAUUCAAGUGAGGCUGGGGUUAUGAAAUUAAAAGAAAAGCAAGACUAGGGGAGGUGAAUGCGUUCUUCUGCUCUUCUUAGUGUUUGUAUGUCUGUUAUCAUCAUAGCAAUAGAAUGUCCAAAGAAAGUAGUAGAGGGCAAAGGCCACAUUGUGGAUCAAUAGUUUCGAGUUCUUAUGUUUGGCCAUUGGCAAGCUCUCCUCUUGUUUAAUAUUUUAUUAUUCUUUAUUAUGGCAUUCUAUGUGUAUAUCUCAUUUGGUUUUUUCCCAAUUGGUAGGCUGUAUAAAGCAAUCAAAUCCUUUUAUACUUGUUUAUUAGUGUCAGUAAAUUUUCACCUUUUUUUUUGGAUUGUAGCAAGUGUAAAGAUAUUUAAUCAAAAAGCAACUUUAAUUCUUUUACAAGAUGGAAUAAACUAGUACUUUAAAUAACUCCUACUUUUGAAGAUUGAAAGCGUUACCCUAAACUCUGGAAGCUGGCAUUAGCCAUAAAUAGGGACCAAUCCUCACACAGUAGUUUCUACUUUUUUCUGUAUCGUGAGCGGCGAGACCAGAAGUUAAGGUUUGUUAGCCAAAGUUGGCAACCAGGAACUAGAAAAUCCUGGACAAGUUGAAGUAGUUGCGCUAUCAGCCAACAUUUCAUAACUAGAGGAAAGCGUUGAUCAUAGAAAGAUACAGUGCAAGAAUUAGGAAAUGAUAACCACUCUUAAAAUCAUUGGACAGUUGAUGCACCCUAAAACAUCCUUCUUAGCUGAUCUACUAAGUUACUUGUACCUGUUGCUGUGCAGGCUAGUUGGCUCUAAGUUACAAGGAAAUUGAAGAAAACUUCCUUGUUAACCUUUGUAUAUGCUAUUAGCAACUUGAAGGACUGCCUAUCUCAAACUCAAGAGGAUCAUUUCACGUUGCGAACAUCGAUCAUAGAUGUCUUUACUAUGUCUUUAACUAGUAAUCAUGCUGAAUCUAUCCUCGGCUUUAUGAACAGUCCUCUCAUACUCUCUAACUGCUUCAGCUGCUAAAAAUGAUUUGUUUUCUGCUUCAGCAAUCCUAUGUGUGGCAUUGUUUUUUCUUGUUUUGAUCUAUGUCUAAAUUCUAGCUUAAAUGCAUUAUUUUUUGUUCUUUGAUUAUAGCAUCACUGUAUACUGCUUUCAUUGGAUUGUGCCAUGAAUGCUUGAUUGGGAUUACUAAAACAAUGACUUAUUGGUUUUUCCUUUGAUUUUUUCUUUUUUUACUUUUUAUGCAGAAAUUGCACAUCUUCUCAUGGCCAAUAGGAGGUGAAGACAUUGGAUCAAUAGUAGAGGCUUUUCUUUUAGCAUGCAUUUGGUUGUUCAUUUUAGACUGUUUUGAGUAAUUUAUCUUUGAAAAAUGAAUCUGCUAAUAGAGAAGAAAACUUGUAUUUUGGUUAGUAUUGUGUCGUGUGAUGAUGGAAUGUUUGGUGUCCUUGUAUUAGCUUCCAGCUAGUGACAUAUUAAGCCAAGGAGUGUCUGUUUCUGUAGGUGCAACUGUUAUCUUGUCAAAGAGAUUUAAGUUCUGAGAGCAGAAGAUCAGUGUUGGAAGCAGUUACUAGGAAUAUGAUAGAAAUCUUAUUAAUCGAUGUUGAUUAGCUGGCUAAUGGUUGUUGCUCUCCAGCUUCUUUAAGCUGAACAGCAUUGGAUCAUAUUCCUCUACAUGGCGGCCUAGCUAAAUUAUGAAAAAACCUUUUUUGGACGCUUUUUUAUUUAUUUAUUUGGUAAUAUCUUUUAUCAAGUCAUUGAGGCAGAGGAGCUGGCUGUGGCAAAAGCUUAUAGGCAGGAAAAUGCUUCUUUAAAGUCUGACGGCUUUGCAUUCUGCACAAGUCUCUUUGAGACAUGCUUUAAAUAUUGAAAUACACUAUCAGAAGCAAAAGUCUCAUGGUAAGUGGUUGGAAUAGGGAGAUAGGAAUACUAAGUACUCGAAAUCCAUCAGUGCUUAAACAAGAAUGUCUCAGUCUAUAAUUCAUUAGAUUAAAAUGUAGAUGGUGAUUGGAUUUUUGCUGAACAGGACAUCAGGGAAGAGGCUGUUCAUUUCUUUCCUACUUUGUAUACCUCAAGUCAUACUAAAAUUGAUUAGAGGAGGACAAUGCUCACUUUGAACACAUUCCUUAUUUGGAAAAGAUUAAAAAGGCUAGUUUUUGACAUUGAAGGGGAUAGCACUGUAGGGCCAGAUGGCUUUACUGGAAAAUUCUUUAACUGCUUCAUGAGAGGUUAUUCUAGAGAAUUUGUAUAUGACUGUGGUAUCUUUCUUUUGUGGUGAUAGCUUGCCUUGCUCUACUACAUCUACUUUGAUAGUCCUGAUUCUAAAAGGGUUGAAUCCUUGUGACUUUAUCCAAUUUUGUGCAAUAAGUUUGUGUAAUUUAUCAACAAGAUUUUUUUUUUCCAGAACCUUGGUUGAUAUGCAGUCUGACAAGCUUCACUGAAUUAUUUUUUUGUAGUGAAGUUGUUUCAUCAAAGGGCGCCAUUUUUUUGAUAAGUUCCUACUUGCUCAAGAAAUGCGUCCUAGUAUUGCUAGGACAAGUGGGGGACGUAAUGUAGCUUGAAAUUAGACAUAAUUAAGGCCGAUUAUAGCGUUUAAUGUCUUUUUUUCAUUCAGAUUCUUCAGACCUUUGGUUUUGGAAAGAUCUGUAUAAAUAUAGUCUGGAGACUCUCUUUUUUUCCUUUCCGAAUUCAUCAUUUCAUUGAUUGUUAAUGGGUCUUGAAUCACGACUUUUUAAAUCAUCUAUGGGGUUUCAUCAUGGAGCCCCAAUAUCUCCAGCCUUGUUUUUUUUAUUAGUGCAGAGGUUCUUUCGAGAGUUUUCCUUCUUGUUCUGGUUUCAAGGUCCCAGGGCAUAUGUCCUAUGGUUUCUCAUCUAGUGUUUGUGUAUAAUGUCCUAGUUUUCACUACUGCUUCAGAUUCAUCUUGCGGCCUAUCAUGGAGAUUCUACAUAAUUGUGAACGUGCAUCUAGGCAGAAAAUUAAUGCAUCAAAGUGUGGUUUCUAGCUCAUCAAGGACUUCCUGUGGUUGGGCAUAAUGUGACAACUAAUUUUUGACAUAUUUUUCGUACAAAUAAUUUUCUGUUAAAUACUUGGAUGUCCUCUUUUUUGUGAUCACCAUGGUGAACUAUGUUAGACAGUUAUGCAUGAGGUCCAUUCUUGGAAGUCUUGUUUGCUUUCUGCUGGGGGAACUUAAAUUGAUAAAAUGCGAAUUCAGCUUCUAUUCCAAUUUAUAUCUUAGCAGUUGCAGAUCCAUCUGUAUUAUCUAUGCAUAAACCAAGUUCGGGUGCUUGGUGCUUGUGCAAAAAAAGUAAUUAAACUUUUAAUUGAAGUUAUGCAUCAUCAAUUCAGACUUUUCUUUUCUUUUCUUUUUUUGAAAAAAAAAGUUUACAUGGGCAGUAUAAGUUAUGCAUCAUCAAUCCAGACUCAAUGCAACAAAGUUUUAUAUGGGUAGUGUAAGUUAAAUAACUAUUAUUCAAACUUGUAAGUUUCACCAAGUCUAAUUGUAUUGAACAUCUAAAAAGUAGAUUACAAUUUUUUCUUGAAAUGUUGAACUAUACAUAUACUAAAAUUUAAUUGUAUUUUUUUUUGAAUUAUAAAGUAUAUUAGGAUGAUCCUAAUUUUGGACUGUUCAAACAUCCAAUGAUUUAUUGCCACCUAGACUUCCCUAACUAUUCUAACUUGACUUUGCUUUUCAUUUUCUAUAAAAAGUAGUCUUUUGAUGCAUAUCGUUUCUUUUGAAGUAGUACAAUACAUAGUAAGCUGAUGUCACAGUUUACACAAACCAAUUGUACGUAUUUUCUAUUCAUGAUUUUCAAUUCAUGCAUUUGGUUCUAUUUCUAGUACAUUAUUCAAGAAGCACAAGAGGCCAUAUCUAUAACUUUCAAUUUUACCAUUUUUUUUCUCGUUUUAGUUGCUAAUAAAAUACUUAUUCGCUUGGAUAUGCAGGUUCAAACUUCUUCAACAAAACAUCCGUCGUUGAAGCUAAAAUUUAUCUAACUAAUCCAAUAAAUGGUAGAAGUUCAAUGAGAGGGGAACCACGCUUUCCAUUUUAUAGUUUACAACCCCUACUCAUUUUAGAAACUCUGCAAUUAAAUUAUCUAAAUAAACAAAAAUUAUUUACAGAAAAUUAGAAAACACAUUUUGACAUUAGUAAGUUAAGCAAAGCACUUACAUGUGUAUGAUGAUAUUAAGUUUAAUAAUCAUCAAUGUGGACCAAUAAAUAUUUUGACCUUUUUUUUUAAUCUAUUGGCUAUUGUUUGUGCACUAUUGAAUAUUCGCAUAAAGUUUAUUUAUUACACCAUCUAGGAGUCACACUCUAAAAUAUCCAUAAGUUUUGGGAUAAUACCAAAAAAUAGUAAAUUAAAUAGGGAAUCGGUAGUGGAGAUGGAUACCAAUGAUAGGUGACAGAGCUUUUUGGUGAUAGAUGUCGAGUGGUGGGAGAGAGACAAUGUUUUGAGUAUUUCAAAUAAAUACCAACGAGCGUGUUAGAUGGUUUUUUUUUUUUGGUAUUUAUGUAAAAUUUUACUGUAACUUACUGUAAAAUUUUUACAAAUUUUUUUUGUCUAUUUAAAAGUAUUGGAGAAUAUUUAUAAAACUCUAUCAUCUCCCAUGCCCCACUCAACAUGGAUGCCACGUCCAACAUCAACCACCACCACCCUCCCCCACUUGUAACCCUCACCACCUCUCCCACGCCCGCUAUCACCCUUCUUCUCCUUCUACUUGUCAUCCCUCUUCUCCUCCUCCUUUUCAAUAUACUCUUUCUUUCUCCCUCUCCCUCUUCUCCUACCACCCCCUUUCCCCAUCUCCUCUUCUACCCCACCCCUCAUUCAUCUUUUUCGCCUCCCACCACCAUCCUCAUUCCCUCUCUUCUCUCUCCUACAGCCCACUGCCAUCCUUCUUGUUCAUUUUUUUUCUCUUCUCCUCUUUCUUUCCCCUUUUCCUCCCUUCCCAUUCUCAUGACUCUCACCCUCUCCUUUGUUUGAUUUAGAGUAGAUCAGGCAAGAGAAGGAAGUUACGAGUCGGGUGAAGAGAGGAUGAAGAGAGGAAAGAAAGGGAAAAAGGAAGGGAGAAAGAAAAAAAAAAGGAGUAGGAGAUUGUGGUGACAGUAGAAAGGGGGGAAAAAGGAAAAAAACUUUGUGAAAGAUAGAGGGGUUGGCAGCAGUAGGGAGAGAGUGAAGAGAUAGGGAGGAGAAAGAGGGAUUAUGGUAGUGGUGAAAGCGCUGGGGAGAAUGACGUGGAGGGUGGUACUAGUGGUAGAACGGUGUGGGUAAUUUUUUAAUUUAUUUUUUACAUUGGAGUAUAUCAAAGAUUUUGUGAGCGUUUUUAGAGGGUUACCAUAGGUAAAGCUGUAAAGAAAAUUUAUUUAUUAAAAACAUAGAAAGAAUAGGGAUGCUAAACGGACUUGACAUUUUUUCUAAAAUAACUUUAGUAAGUUACAGUAAACUUUUAGACAAACAUUAAAAAAAUAUACAAUCCAAACGGACUCAAUGAUAAGAGCCUAAAAAUGUGCUAUAGCAUAGAACCACUUCUGUAAAAAAAAAAAUGCAGGGCAACUUUUAAAGUGCAAACUACAAUGAAACACACAUGAAUAGAAAAGGAAGAAUCAAAACACUCACCAACAAUACACAAAUGAGUAAAGUCUUGGAAAAACUUUAUGCUGCUUGUUAGUCAAUAAUUUCAUGGUUUAUGCAGGUGGAUUCCUAUGCUUAUCUUCCUCCAAACUCAACUCAUCACUUGAAUUGUGAGGCAAUAGCAACUCUUGUUGUAUUUUUUUCCUACCAAACGUUAUAUUAUUAUUCAAGCUGCCCAAGAGUACUGUCGCGCCCCAUUUUUUACAAGAAAAAUAAAUAAAUAAAUAAAUGAAUUUUUAUUUGAAAAAGGAUUUUUGAUUUAAAAAGAAAAUGGGCCUAAAUGGGGUUUGUAAUGCGACGAUUUGACCCAAAAUAUAGUUUAAAAAAGGGUUUAUUCAAUGAAAAAUGGAGUCGCCACUUGGUAUAGAGUUAAGGUGUACCAAGUCACCUAAAAAUGAAUUUUUUAAAGGAAAAAGUAGAAAAAACCCCUUUUAAACAACUCCUUGUCCACGUAAACCAACAAAAAAGGUUCGGGAGUCACAUUUGAAGAGAGGGAAGGCAAGGACGAAGUCCAAGGCACCCUCUCAACCUAGCCAAGGCUAGUUGCGCGAUUUAGUCAAGAAUUUUCUUAUUUUAACCAAAAGAUUUAUCACAUUCGGAUGUACUAUAUGAAUGCAAACCCUAGACCUAGGGAGACAUCGGGGGCAAAAUUUCUCUUCAAAGCUGGAAUGAUGCCAUUCACAUUAAUUGUGAUGCCCAAUAAUGACUCUUUGGAGAGGUCACGAAUAAUGCUAAUGACGUGAAAUGAGUGGAAUGAAUGUAUGCAAUGUGAAAAUUUGAGUUUGUGUGAAGUGGAAAAGUAAUAUAAAAAAACAAUGGUGUGUAAGUGGAAGUGUGCAAAUGGAUGUACAAAGUAAGGUGAGUAAAGUGAUAGUAUGAAGUGCGUGUGUGCACGUGAUAUUAUAUAAAGUGCUAGGGGUAGAGUGAGAACGUGCAAAAUAAAAGUUGUGUGAAGUGAAAAUGUGGAAAAAUGGAUAGAAUAUGAAGCAAAAGUGCAUGCGAUAGCGGAUAAAUGAAAUGCAUGAACCCUAGAGGAAUGCAAGCAAGACGGGUACGGGGAACUAAUGUUCGUGACUCGAUUUUCCUUUUAAUAGAAGGAAUACGGGCGUGCUAAGGUUAGAAAAGCCAAACUCGUCCAUAUCUCAUAUCCAAAGGGUUCCCUAAUCUAAUCAAGCAAAUGCCCUAUCCUAAUCCUAUUUCUAGAAUGAAAUGCAAUUCUAAUGUCAUGUAUCAUGCAUAGGGGUAUAUAUAUGUAUAGGAAAAUUAGGGAUAAGGGUUAUACGUAUAAGGGGAAUAUCAUACAAAAUGAUAAAAGGCCCUAAAAAGUGAAAAUAUGCAUGAGAUGGUGUGAUUUUACCACGCAAUCAUGAUCUAACGUGCGAGGGGCUCCUAAGGGUCUAGCAUUGGACUAGCCCACAUCUACGCUCUCUCGCAAGUAUUGGACUUGCAAGAGCUCGAGUGGACAACCAUGACUAGCAUUGGACUAGCCACGGUUACAUGCAUUUGCAUCCAUCAUACACAUAUAUAAGUAAUAUGCAUAAUUAAAGCAAGUAGACAUGUGAGCACGUAAUUCACAUAACACAUAAGCAUGCAUAUCUAGAUGCUAAAACCUAAGAAACCGAUUAAAUACAUAGCACAUAGACAUGCAAAACACCCAAGGCAAUCAAGGCCCUAACUAUUACAUUUUAGGGGGAAGGCCUACUACAAUCUAAAAGGGGAAACGAAAAAUAAAUGAAAUAAACCUAACUAUUACAAUUUGGCAUUCAAGUGCUUCCCAAAUGAUAAAAUUGGACUAAAAUUUAAGCAAAAACUAAGCAAACUAAAGAAAUAAAUAAAGUAAAAAUGAAAUAAACACUUAAAGCCAUGCAAAUUGCACACAUAAAACACAUAUACGCACGUAGGGUCAAAUAAAGUCAAAAAUAAAGGAUAAGGUGUACCUCCCUUGAGUUGAAGCUCUAAUGGGGUGAAAAAUUACUUAUUUACCCUCCAAAACGAAGAAAAGGGUCAAGGCAUCACUUAAUUAACAAUUAACGAAAUGGAAAUUAAACACAAAAAUAACGAUUAAACAAAGGAUAAGUAUUUACAUAAACUAGCUCAUCUAUAUUUAAGAAUUACAGCGAAUUAAAAUAAAAGGGCUUCAAAGUUCUAACAUAAAAAAAAAAUCUAUCACAAUCAAAUGCAAAAAUUUCACAAGGAAAAGAAUAAGAGACCGUUUCCUAUGUUAAACGACAAAACUUCCAAGACUCCACUAAAAAUUCAAAUUAGGAUUAUAAAGUUACCAAAAACAUCAAAUCUUCACAAUCUUAUCCCAAGAAUCAUAUAUCAAUCAAAAACCAGAUUUUUAUGGGACCCAAUUGACCAGUUUUCCUAAAUUUCCAGGUCAUAGUAUAACAAAAAGGGACUUGGGGGUUUAAAGUGUAAUUUUCGAUAACCGUUUCAUGCAUGCAACGAGAACUGAAGCCUUCAUUACUUCUGCAAUUUUCGUAUGAAGCUUUCUGCAACUUUAAGCUUUCAAGAUGCGGAUUUCAUUCAAGACUUCAAACAAAAUUCAGCCAAGACCAUCACUCGACACCACCUAAUAGCUAGACAUUAUGAUUAACGCGAUCCAAUCAUGAACACUAAACCAUUAAACAUCAAAUGAAGACAAGUGAAGAACCGGAUAGAGGAAGUGGGCAGCGGCAGAAAAACAGAAUCAGCUAUCAUUUUUCUGCAACAUCAUUUCAUUUCACCGGAGUGCCAACGCAGCUAGACCUCAAAAGUUUGUAUCAAGAAAAGACUGGUGUAUCUUGGUGACUUAGCCAAAUGUGAUUACCCGAACAUAACGUUUAACCACAUUCAAAACACAGACGAACUGGAGCUCGUGACUCAUAAAAAAUUGCAGCAGAAAUAACGAAUAGAUGGAGCUUUCCUCCAAUCUACUGGGUUUGCAAAGCAAGUUUUCCUUGUCUGUCCAUGAGUGAAAUUUCUACCAAACAUAAAGCAUUGGUCUUUAAGCAAUGAAAACACGGCAAGGCGACCAUCAAUCAUGCAACUCUUUCUAUGACUCCGGGAGUUCGACAGACACAAACUUCCUUUUUAUUCAAUCACCUAACACUUCACCCAAUCAAAACUAGAAACGAAAGGCUCAGAACACAGGUUUUCCUUUGCAUUUUCGAGACAAAACCAUGACAUACAAAGAUUCCAGAAGAUCGUGUAUGCUUGGGAACAGAGAAUUGGAAUGGACACUCACAUAGUUUACCAGCCAAAAUGAUGAAUGAUUACAGACUUGCUUCAGACAAAUCGAAAAUGUCAGAAAACAAGACAAAGCGCAAGUUCCAAAUAUUUAAGAUCCUAAAUGGUAAAGCUCGAGACAAGAAGGAAGGGGACAUCCAGCAAACUUUCGGGCACCAAAUGCAACAAAAUGACUGGAAUGUCUACUAAACUUGGACCCAACAUCGCAGCCGACCAUCACAUAAAACAAACGUCAAUCAAAAACGCGACUUCAGCCACCAUGAAGCAAAAACAACAAAACGAAGCUCGAAACAAAGGAUAAUCAGGAACAUCAGUAUCACAACCCUUUCAAAUCCAUAUCUGCAAUGCUUCAACACAAACCCCAAAGCCAUAAAAAUCCAAUCUUUGGGCCCAUCAGGAAAUCACAGAAGAAGAAACCGCAGAUGGCAUCCAUUUUAUUUUUUUGUAUGAAGGAGAGGAAGCACGAAAGCUAACAAGUUUUAUAAAAUACACUAGUUCUAAACAUAGCCACUGGAGUCAUAACUUAUUCACCCGAUCAUGCCCAGCAUACAAUCAUUAAGAUCUGGGGUUUCUAACUCACAAACAAAGGACAAGAUUCGGUAAUUUAAAGGAAAGAAAACGCAACUUACAGUGAUGGUGCUUCCUCUCGGUGAAAGUGAUGACGAUCAGGAGGAUUAGCAACUCCGAUGACUCUUUUGCUGACUCUUCUUCCUUGGUCGACGCUGUAAUCGUUCGGUUUCUCUCCCGUUUCCUCAAUUUGUUUCUCUCUUUUGCUACUGUUUUCACUCUUUUCUUCAGCCCUCCCUCCCAAAACCUUUUCCAACUCCUUUUUCUUUUUACCCUAGCCGUCUGUUUUUCCUUAAACCCCAGCCGUCCUCCCAUUUUCUGAACCCUUAGCUUUGCUUUUAUAUCCCAUCCAAACCCCUUAAACCUCAUCUCAAUGGCUCUAAACAACCUCAGCUCCCUCCCUUAUUGUUAGCCAUUGAUUAUGGCUUUUAAUGGGAGCACUUACAUGGAUCUCGCUGGCCUGUACUUACCUCAUCUAACGGCACCAGAAAAAAACAGUGACGAAAAUAGAAGAAAGGCAAGAAAACGCAGAAGUUGUCUUUUUUUUUAAUCACUUAAUUAAAUAACACUAAUACAAAAUAACAAUUUAAACAAACUUAAAUAAAAUGUACAAAAACUAGUAACAAAAGAUAAAACAAAAACUAAGAUUUUUCUUGUGCUUGAUUGAUGAUUUUUUUCCUUUUUUUUCCGAUUAAUAAACAAUAAAAAGAAAUGAAACUUAUUUUCAUGAAUAAUUUUCUCUUUUACCAAAUUUUAUGCUAAAAAGUCUUGUAAUAAAAAUAAACAGCUAAAGGGGCAAAACGAAUACAAAAAUAAAAAAUAAAAACUAAAAAUAAAAUAAUAGAUCAUAAUACUAAUCUGAAAACGCUAUACAAAUGCUAAAAAAAGAAAAUCUAAACCAAAAUCAUGAAGUUAACAAAUAAAAUAGAUGAGAAUUAUCACUAAAAGCAAAAAUAAAAAUAGAAUAAAAAUUAUUUAAAAUUUGGUGUCUACAAGUACAAUGCAGGGAGGAGGGCCGCACCUUACCUCUGAAAUGAGAAGCGAAAAUUAAAAAAAUUCUGCAUAUCCAGUGCCAGUAACCCUUUAGUGCGACACGGUAAUUGAGAAGCCCUAGUAUAAAGCUCGAAGGACCCACAUGCAGUAUCGUAGGAAGCCAGUGAAUCAGUCACAGCAUUCCCCUCCCUGUAGCAAUGCUUGAACUGAUAAUACUCUGGCAUAACAUACCGAAUGGCAUGCACGACAGGACAAAUGACCACUGGACCUGCCCCUCCCCCCCGUAAACAAUUGAUCAAGAUAAGGCAAUCAGAUUCAACAAUUAAGUGCAAUAUCCCCCUUUACCGCCCUAACUGAAGACCUAGAAGGAGCGCGCGCGCCUCCGCUUGCAGGGGACUUACCGGACCAAAGAAAUCAGCAAAAGCAAGAAUGAGCCUUCCACAGGAAUCGCUAAACACUCUACCACCACCCCCACCUCGAAGAGUAGAGCAACCAUCCGUAUUCAACUUAAAGAAACCGUUCGACGGACACACCCAUCGCACCAGAGUGGAAACUAAGGACCUCCGAACCCCAGACAGCGAGUCCAGAAUUUUCGCCCAUUGAAGUGGUAACCUUGCCAUGGCCGAAAAGUACACCUGGACCAAUAACGCAGCUCAUUAAUGAUCCAUCCCCGAACCUAACCAACGGAUAUACUUCGUCCCUCAAAUCGAGUCGUGUUUCUAGCCCGCCAUAAAAACCAGACAAUAAGCAAUGGUAGCAUGCGGGAUAACCACCGCAAUGCCCUCCCUUUGUCAGGGAGCAACCACCAUUUGUAGCAUCAUGACCUAACAGAAGCAACUGAAGGAGUUGCAAAGCCUAACGACUGCCCAAAAAGCCCUCAAACCUCAUUUGCCAGUGCCCCAGUAGCAAACACAUGUUGCAGCGUUUCCAACUGAGGCGGCAAACAGCAGUGGCACUUAGAGGGGCCAUAACCUGAAACUUUUCUAACACAUCAUCCACCGGCAGCUGCUCGUGCAACAAUCUCCACAUAAGAAAGGAUAAUUUUGGCGGAAUUAGAGAAUGCCAGAUAGAAGCAAAUGCCCAAGACUGAACCCCAGAGGAUCGAACUACCUGAUAUGCCGAUUUUGUAGAAAAAUCCCCCGAAGGUUCUAAGGUCCAAACUAGACUAUCCGGAACCUUACCAAAACAAAAGAAAGAAUCUGCAGCCGCCUCUGCGACCUCCGAGGGGAAGGUAGCCAAGGUUAAAUGAUCCCAUUGGCCCUCACGCAAAAAAUUUUGAACCCGAGCGUUUGACGCUAAAUCUGGAAACCUCCAUGCCAACGGACCUAGCCCACUCCAAUUAUCCUACCAGAAGGCAACAUCCCCCCUAGACAAAUCCCAUUUUAGCCAUAUCUCCAUGGAAGAUCGAACCCCAAACAUUCGUUUACAACUCGGGGAAAACUUAGGAAAAAUAGAGACCUGAUUCGGAUGUAACUCACCAACAUACCUAGACCUCAUGAACUGGGCCCAGAGCGAAUGCCCACAUCUAAACAACCAUCAUAGCUUACAGGAAAAUGCUUCAAUAAUGGCCUGUAAUGAACGAAAACCUACUCCCCCCUCCUCCACGGGACGACAUAAUUUCUUCCAUGCUGACCAGUGUCGCUUAAACCCAAACUCUGAUUCCCCCAAAAAAAAACCAUGCAAACAUCCGCUCUAGCUCAGCAAUUACCCCUUGUGGAGGCACCAAUACGGCCAGAAUGUGAGUCGGAAUUGAAGAUAGCAUAUGCUUAAUGAGUAGAGCACGAGCACUCAUUGAUAGCCAUCGACCUCGCCAAGAAUUCAAAUACUGUGAUACUUUAUCCAAUAAACCAUUGAAGAAGGAUCUCACCCUUCUCCCAGCAUACAAGGGGCAACCCAAGUAAGUGACCAGCAGCUCUUUAAAAGAAAACUCCGUUGUCCGCGCAAUCACCCAACGCCGUACAAGCGAUACCUUCUUGUCCACCAAGAAGCAGCUCUUAGAAACGUUCACCAACUGCCCUGAGAUCCUUUGAUAUUUGCCCAAUACCGCCAACUGCCCUUUGUAUUUGAAAGAAGGUUUGUCUUUCUUAUGCAUCAAAGUUGACUGACAAUUUAAUCAGUUUCUACUUACUCUGCUUAAUCACAAAGGCAUAUUUACCCUAAAUUGUACUUAGUGAAUACACUUUCUAACUCUAUUUUUAUUUAUUUUUUUAAGGCUACCUAUUAACUUUUUUCCCUCAAUCAAAUGUUGAUACUGCAGAAGAUUUAUUAGAUUGUUGCAUAUGAAAUCAACCUACUAUUAUUGCCUUCUGAAAAAAUUUAGACUAGUUCUCUUAUUAAGUGACCAAUGUCUUGUUCUUACAGGUACUCCUACCUAGAAAACUAUAGUACAGAGCUAAUUGUUGGUACAAUAGAUAAGCAACCUCUUCUUGAGACUCUUAGAGAGGUAAAUUUACUGUCCUUUCUGAGCAAUUCCGGAUCAAUAUUCCUAAGAAUAGAAUAUUAUAACUAGAAGUUUAAUGAAGUCUCAAAGCUAUUAGAUUUUGGUCAGACAUUUUGAACUACGAUUAACUGAAAUAUUACCUUCUUGUUCAUUCUCAGGUUUUUGUACUCAGGAAACUACUUCCCACUUCUUUACCAUAUGACUUCAACAUUCAUGUGAGUUGUUACCUUACAUACUUUUGUUUUUGAGAUGCAAUGGCUGCCCACACUACAUCUCACUUUUAGAUAGCAAGAUGUAAAUUCUUAUCUAUUUGUGAACAAGGAUUCAACAGAGCAUGUUGAUAGAUAUAUGUGGUUGAAGCAUUAGAUAAUGACAAUUAUACUCCACUUGGCAGAUCAUGGAUUUUCAAUCAGGAGAAUUUCAAUUAUGAUAAUGAUUAUUAUACUCCACUAUCUGUUUGUUGAUCAUUUUCUUUGUUUUAUUUAAGUCAUUUGGCCUUUUAUUUUUUUUGCAAAUUUCCCUCUUGAAGAUAGCAAAAUAGCAUAGGCAGCAGGCACUCAUCCUCUAUUGAGUAAUACAAGCAGAAUACCACUAGCAUUAUAAACACUGGGGAUUAAGAUGCACCGCAAUCCAACUUUUGAAACUGAAGCUCAAGUAUCCCCCUUAAGUCACAUUAUAAAAAUUCUAAUGAAUUGCAAAACUAUAUAAAAAUAAACGUAAAAGUCUAGAAACUCCCAAGUAUUAAGCACAUAUAAUAAUCUCCUAUUAUACCAUGAAGGAAAUGAGUAAAGUGAAUAUAUCACAAAGAAAUUAAGCUUAAUUACCUUGCCUUCGAACCAGAAUAGCUCACAAAAUUGUUGGUUGAGUUGUCUCAAAGCUACAAUUAGUUCACCAACGGAGAACCAAAUCCAACCAAGGAAUUGGUUGUGCAAUUGAGAAAUCAAAAGAAAUUUCAAUUUGGUAUUUCUAUUGUAGAGAUAAAACUAAGAAACAAACCUAAGAAUCAACUAAGAAACAAACACAAAAUUGAGAUAGAACUAUCGCUAGGUAUAAGCCUCACCAUUUUCCUUUGAGACUCUACUUAAGCUAUUUCUACUGCAGAGAAUAAAGACGAAAUAGGUGGAAUUAGGUUUCAGAGAGAAAGAGAAAGAUUAAUUGAUCAGCAAAUAAGAAUCAAAGGUAUUUCUACAUCAUUAGGAAUCGAGAGGUGGAAUUGAGAGGUGGAAGAGAGAGAGAUCAACAAAUAUUGUAUUCCAACACAACAGAGACUUCGAUAUAGAAAUUAAAAAAAAAAAAAGGUCGGAGUACAGGUUUCGACCGAGGACAGCAUCUUUGUUGCAAUGUAAACUGAAUUGAAUAACUUUGUUGCUAUUUUUAAUUCAACUAGUGAAUUAUAAUAUCUUUUUUUUUGGCAAAUACUUCUCGAAACAUUAGAGACUAGAAGUUUAGAUUAGGAAAUUAGGCAUUUUGAAGACAUUUGAGAUUCAAUAGAUGAUGAAAAUUUAGAAUCAAAAUAGGAUCAAAAUUGUUAAACAAGGAAUUUGAAGCCAGGUUUUCAGAUUUGAGAGAGAAGGUGGAAAUUUUUUGAAAGUUUGGAGAAGGUCCAGUAGCUAAUUUGUUUCAGGGACAACUUUAUGUCAAUUCGUAGCUCCUAUCUUUGAGCAUCACUGUGUGUAUCCAGAUUAUCCAUAAGGAUUUUUUCCUAGAACAUGUUCCAGAUGUGCUUCAUGAUAAAAGUUUGGUUAUAUGUGUCUAAUGUAGUAAUCAAAAUCCCACCCUCAUCUUUAGGAACAUGAAGUUCCUUCCACUCAACCUUAGCCAUUUAUUGACUCUCGUUUUCUCUAGACAAUAGAAGGCUGCGAAAAGCUUCUCAAUUCUUUUGCUAAUUGAUUUGGGCAAAAUGAACAUGCUACUCCAUUAAAGAUGAAACUAUUAACUACAUAUUUGAACUAAAUAGUCUUCUUGCAUAACUCAAGUGCCAAGAUACCCAAGCUCUAGAUUUUAGAAUUCAUCUUCUCCAAAAUAAGUAUGCAAUUAGUGUAUGUUAUUCGCGUAGAAUUAUGUGCCCUACUAGGAAUACAUUGCAAUUCUGUAAGUUCAGCUUCAACCCCAAAAAAGUUCUCAAACUCAUGAAGAGUUUUCUUAACUAGUUGCAUAGCUUUCUUUGUAGCACCUGAAACCACAAAUACAUCAUCAACAAAAAUUAAGUGAAACAAUUUCAUCUUUUCACAUUUGAGAUGGUAAUCCAGCCCAUGAGCUGCAUUGUUCCUUUCCAAUAACUAAGGAAAGUCCACCAAAGUAUUAGGAGUAAAUAAGGAGAUAUUGGAUCUCCUUUCCUCAACCCUCUUCCACUUUUAAAAUAUCCUACUAUAACUCCAUUGAUAUUGAGUGAGAAAUGUGCUAUAGUGACACACAAUUUAGUCCAAUCAAUAAAAUCGUAUCAAAAAAAUUCAUAAGCCUUAUAGUAGUGAAUAAAAAAUUCCAAUCAACAGUUUUGUAGGCCUUCAUGAGAUUUAUCUUGAUUGCACAGUUGGGUUUGCCUCCAUCUCUACGGUAAUUAUACACUAGCUUAUGCAUCAACAUGAUAUUUUUUGAAAUCAAGUGCCCUUUGAGAAAUACAUUCUGGUUUUGACCAAUCAAACUAGGUAAGACCCUUUUCAAAUGAUCAGUGAGGACUUUCAACGAUGCCUUAUAGAGCACAUUGCAACAUGCAAUGGGUUUACAAUCCUUCAUUUAGAAGCUUACUGGGUCUUUGGUAACAAGGUAAUAAGAGUACUAUUUAACGGUUGAUACAUGUAACAAUUAGCAACAUAGAAUCUCAUAGCACGACAUACCGCUUCGCCCGUGAGUGACCAAUUCUAUAUGUAGAACUCUAUGGUAUAGCCAUCUGUCCCUGGUGCAGUAUCACUUUUCAUGCUAAAUAUGGUUGCUUUAAUCUCAUCAUUUUUCACUUCCCUACUCAGCAAUUUUGGUUGACCUUUAGUAAUAUUUUUCUUUAUAAUUAGCUUCAACUUGUAAAUAAGAGCAUGCUGACUAGCAAACAACCUUUUGGAAAACUACACAGCUUCAUAUUUCACUUCUUCACAGUCAACCUUAUACAGUCUUCAAUUACCAAAGAAAGCAGUCUGCUCUUUGCCUAAUGUUUCACUACUUUCCUGUGGAAAAAUUCUUUCUUGUCACUAUCAUUCUUCCAUCUCACCCUUGACUUAUCCUUAAAGAACUAUUCUUCAGCAAUCAAGAAGUCUCCAUAGGAUAGGAGAUACUUCCUUUCAAAAUUCUGCAAAUCACUAUUAUGAGGUUGUUGUUGCAAGUAUGCAACAAGGACUGGGUAGCUAUUGAAAGAUCCAUAGCUUAGUUUACUCUACCACUUAGAUUACUUGAAAAUGUCUUGUUGAAAGCUUUAAGAUCACCUUUGAAUGUUUAAACAAAGAGUUCUCAUGGGAUUACUGUUUUCUUGAGUCACCUAUGCACAAGCUAAAGUACUCUGAAACCCUCUGUUCUGCAUCCAGAACCCGUGAAACUUGAACGAUUUUGAACCAUAAUCUACUCAAUCUGCAAGUUUCACUAGUAAUAGGCAAUGAUCAGGAUAUGAUAGUGGAAGAAAUUCCCAGUAAUAUGUAUAAAAUGCUAGAACUACUUUCAUUCUCCAAAACCCUAUCUAGCUAACUAUACUGCAUGUCCUUUCCAUCAUGCUUAUUGCAUCAUGUAAGAAAAUAGCCAGAUGCAUUCAGUCUUCUACAUCAAUUUCCUCUAGACAUAUAUUUAAUUCAUCCAUGGCACCAUAAUCAAAUGUCUCACUGCCCAAUUUUUCUAAACAUUUUCUAAUUAUAUUGAAAUCUUCAAGAAUUAUCCAAGGCAUGUCAGCAUAAUUUGCAGCAAUCUCUCUCAAGUAACUCCAUAAUUCCCAACAUCAACUCUUGGAAGGUAAAGAUCCUACUCCUACUGUUAUAAAAUGAACAAAUGGUGAUCAAAGCUUGCAAAAAUGCAUGCAAAAAAUAGAAUCAAUAAUAACAAAUUUAAUGAUAACUCAAAAUUUCCUAGAAAUUUAAUUUUAUAGGUCAUACUUGGAACUAAAAAAAAGGAAAACCUAAAAUUAAAAAAUCCUCGGCGAAUAGAAAACAAUUAGUCUCUACGAAAAAUAUGUUUUGUGAAAACUUUGGUAAUUGAUGUUUUGUUGUAGCUUGCUUCCUUUAUAUUUUGGUCCUUCCUUUAGUUCUAUACACAUUCUACUUGUCUUACAUUCGAUUUUGGCAAGGUUUUUGUUGACGUGUUGUAGUUGUAUAUGAUUCUUAAUUUUUUGUUUCCUUUGAGUGGACUAAUUGUAGUUUUACCUUUUAUAUUUUGAGAGAUGAGUGGACUAACGCUAAUUUCCUUCGUAAUUGUGCAGUGCUCUUUUGUUCCUUUCUUUUUAUUUUUUUUCAAGGCCAUUGAACUAGAUAGCAAUAGUAUGUACUGACCCCUAGUUGUACAAUGGGAUUAAUUUUGAAAAUAAAAACGUUAUUAUGUAUAAUUAUGAGAACUUAAUAUAUAUCAGUUUUAUGAAAUGAUUAAAAUUCUAAAAACACUCCAACAAAUAACUAUAGUAAUAAUUUUUCCUAUGCACCAUUACAAUAAAAUUUAUAUAAAAAAAACUCCAAAACACCUGAUUCAUAUGGAGCUGAUUCGUCAUUCAUUGCUGCAUUUUUCAAGCAUAGCAUGUACUUCUUGCCUAGCUUCACCUUCAAUUUGAAUGUAUCUGGAAAGCAAACACGCUCAAAAUGGAUUUUAAUUUCAAAUAAGUCAUAUGUCUUUAAGAAAGUAAACAGAUAUAGAAGAAAGCAAAAUGCAAAAACUUCCUAGUGUAAAGUUGAAAGUAUUAGUUGAACAUCAAGUAGUAAGGCUUAAAUCAUUCUUUAGACUCGUAUGAAAUUUUAAAUGGUAGUCUUCCCCAUUGAUUCAGGUACAAGGAAGCUGUCAAACUUGAUUUGAUUUAAUUAAGAUCUUCAUCUUCCACUUUGUUUCAACCUAGUUUUCAUUGUACUUUUAGGGGUAAAAUACCAGUACUAAAUAUAAGGGGUUAGAAAUGAAGGAUUAAUUUUUCAAUAUACUGACAGUGUAUAUACUAUUAUUAUUAGAUGCGCGAUAACUAAUUUUAAAUUUAAAUUUUGUAUAUAUGUCAUAUAUUCAAUAGCGAUACACCUUUAGUAUAUAUAUUAUGAUUAAUCUUUCCAACACUGAUAGUGUAUAUAUCGUCAACAUUGGAUGAAUGACAGCUAUGCAAAUUUUGAAUUUGAAAUCCAACUUUUAUACGUGUCAUGAAUCCAAGUCACAUCUCUAAGUUGGAGCAUUUUCUUCCUGUUCCAUGAGCAAUUGGUAGGUAUUGAGAUUUGACCAAAAGCUCCCAUCUUUGAGCAUCGCUGUGUGUAUCCAGAUUAUCCAUAAGGAUUCUUUCCUUGAACAUAUGUUCUAGAUGUGGUUCAUGAUAAAAGUAUGGUUGUAUGUGUCAAACUAUAGUAAUCAAAAUCCCACCCUUAUCUUUAGGAACACGAAGUUCCUUCCACUUAAUCUUAGCCAUAUAUUGACUCUUGUUUUCUCCAGACAAUAGGAAGGAUGUCAAAAACUUCUCAAUUCUUCUGCUAAUAGAUUUGGGUAGAUUGAACAUGCUACUCCAUUAAAGAUAAAGCUAUUAACUAUAUAUUUGAGCUAAAUAGUCUCCCUGCAUCAUUCAAGUGCCUAGAUGCCCAAGCUCUAGAUUUUAGAAUUCAUCUUCUCCAAAAUAAGUAUGCAAUUAGUGCAUGUAAUUUGCGUAGAAAUAUGUGCCCCUACUAGGAAUACAUUGCACUUCUGUAAGUUCAGCUUCAACCCCGACAAGUUCUCAAACUCAUGAAGAGUUUUCUUAACUAGUUGCAUAGCUUUCUCGGUAGCACCUAAAACAAAUACAUCAUCAGCAAAAAUUAAGUGAAACAGUUUCAUCUUUCACAUUUGGGAUGGUAAUCCAGCCCAUGAGCUGCAUUGUUCCUUUCCAAUAACUAAGGAAAGACCACCAAAUUAUUAGGAGUAAAUAAGGAGAUAUUGGAUCUCCUUUCGUCAACCCUCUUCCACUUUCAAAGUACCCUACUAUGACUCUAUUGAUAUUGAGUGAGAAAUGUGUUGUAGUGACACACAAUUUAGUCUAAUCAAUAAAUCAUACCAAAAAAAUUCAUAAGCCUCAUAGUAGUGAAUAAAAAUUCCCAAUCAAUAGUUUUGUAGGCGUUCAUGAGUUGUAUCUUGAUUGCAUACUUGGGUUUACCUCCAUCUCUAUGGUAGUUAUACACUAGCUUAUGCAUCAACAUGAUAUUUUUUGAAAUCAAGUGUUCUCUGAGAAAUACAUUCUAGUUUUGACCAAUCAAACUAGGUAAGACCCUUUUCAAAUGAUCGGGGAGGACCUUCGAGGAGAUCUUAUAGAUCAUAUUGCAACAUGCAAUGGGUCUAUAGUCCUUCAUUUAGAAGCUUCCUGGAUGUUUGGUAAUAAGGUAAUAAGAGUACUAUUUAGCGGUUGAUACAUGUAACAAUUAGCAACAUAGAAAUCUCAUAGCACGACAUACCUCUUCGCCUAUGAGUGAUCAAUUCUAUAUGUAGAACUCUAUGGUAUAGCCAUCUGUCCCUAGUGCAGUAUCACUUUUCAUGCUAAAUAUGGCUGUUUUAAUCUCAUCAUUUGUCACUUCCCUACUCAGCAAUUCUACCUGACCUUUAGUAAUAUUUUUCUUUAUAAUUAGCUUCAAAUUAUAAAUAAGAGCAUGCUGACUAGAAAACAACCUUUUGUAAAAUUACACAGCUUCAUAUUUCACCUCUUCAAAGUCAACCUUAUACAAUCUUCAGUUACCAAAGAAAGCAGUCUGCUCUUUGCCUGAUGUUUCACUACUUUCUUGUGGAAAAAUUCUUUCUUGUCACUAUCAUUCUUCCACCUCGCCCUCGACUUAUUCUUGAAGAACUAUUCUUCAGCAAUCAAGAAGUCUCCAUAGGAUAGGAGAUACUUCGUUUCAAGAUUCUGCAAAUCACUAUUAUGAGGUUGUGGUUGCAAGUAUGCAACAAAGACUGAGUAACUAUUGAAAGAACCAUAGUUUGGUUUACUCUGCCACUUAGAUUACUGUAAAACGUCUUGUUAAAAGUUUUAAGAUUACCUUUCAAUGUUUAAACAAAGAGUUCUCAUGGGAUUACUAUUUUCUUAAGUCGCCCAUGCACAAGCUAAAGUACUCUGAAAGCCUCUGUGCUGCAUCCAAAACCCAUGAAACUUGAACGGUUUUGAACCAUAAUCCACUCAAUCUGCAAGUUUCACUAGUGAUGGACAAUGGUCAGGAUAUGAUAGUGGAAGAAAUUCCUAGUCAUAUGUAUAAAAAUGCUAGAACUACUUUCAUUCUCCAAAACCCUGUCUAGCUUACUAUAUUGCAUUUCCUCUCCAUCAUGCUUAUUGCAUCAUGUAAGAAUAUAACUAGAUGCAGUUUAGGCUUCUACGCCAAUCUCCUCUAGACAUAUAUUUAAUUCAUCCAUGACACCAUAAUCAAAUGUCUCAUUGCCCAGUUUUUCUAACAUUUUCUAAUUAUAUUGAAAUCUCCAAGAAUUAUCCAAGGCAUGUCAGCAUAAUUUGCAGCAGUCUCUCUCAAGUAACUCCAUAAUUCCCAACAUCAACUCUUGGGAGGUAAAGAUCCUGCUCCCACUGUUAUAAAAUGAACAAAUGGUGAUCAAAACUUGCAAAAAUGCAAGAAAAAAAUAGAAUCAAUAACAACAAAUUUAAUGAUAACUCAAAUUUUCCUAGAAAUUUAAUUGUUUAGGUCAUACUUGGAACUAAAAAAGAAAGAAAAACCAAAAAUUAAAAAAUCCUCGAUAAAUGGAAAACAAUUAGUCUCUACAAAAAAGAUGUUUUGUGAAAACUUUGGUAAUUGAUAUUUUGUUACAGCUUCCUUCCUUUAUAUUCUGGUCAUUCCUUUAGUUCUAUACACAUUCUACUUGUCUUACAUCCGAUUUUGGCAAGGUUUUUGUUGACGUGUUGUAGUUGUAUAUAGUUCUUAAUUUUUUGUUUUCUUUGAAUGGCCUAAUUGUAGUUUUACCUUUUAUAUUUUGAGAGAUGAGUGGACUAGUGCUAAUUUCCUUCGUAAUUGUGCAAUGCUUUUUUGUUCCUUUCUUUUUAUUUUUUUUCAAGGCCAUUGAACUAGAUAGCAAUAGUAUAUACUGAUCCCUAGUUGUACAAUGGGAUUAAUCUCAUAAAUAAAAAAGUUAUUAUGUAUAAUUAUGAGAACUUAAUAUAGAUUAGUUUUACGAAAUGAUUAAUAUUCUAAAAAUACUCCAACAAAUAACUACAGUAAUAAUUUUUUCCUAUGCACCAUUACAGUAAAAUUUAUAUAAAAAAAACUCCAAACACCUGAUACAUACGGAGCCGAUUCGUCAUUCAUUGCUGCAUUUUUCAAGCAUAGCAUGUACUUCUUGUCUGGCUUCACCUUCAACUUGAAUGUAUCUGGAAAGCAAACACACUCAAAAUGGAUUUUAAUUUCAAAUAAGUCAUAUGUCUUUAAGAAAGUAAACGGAUAUGGAAGAAGACAAAAUGCAAAAACUUCCUAAUGUAAAGUUGAAAGUAUUAGUCGAACAUGAAAUAGUAAGACUUAAAUUGUUCUUUAGACUCGUAUGAAAUUUUAAAUGGUAGUCUUCCCCAUUGAUUUAGGUAUGAGGAAGCUGUCAAACUUGAUUUGAUUUAAUUAAGAUCUUCAUCUUCCACUUUGUUUCAAACUAGUUUUCAUUGUGCUUUUAGGGGUAAAAUACCAGUACUAAAUAUAAGGGGUUAGAAAUGAAGGAUUAAUUUUUCAAUACACUGACAGUGUAUAUACUAUCAUUAUUAGAUGCACGAUAACUAAUUUCAAAUUUAAAUUUUGUAUAUAUGUCAUAUAUUCAGCAGCGAUACACCUUUAGUAUAUAUAUUAGGAUUAAUCUUUCUAACACUGAUAGUGUAUCUACCGUCAAUAUUUGAUGAAUGACAACUAUGCAAAUUUUGAAUUUAAAAUCCAACUUUUAUACAUGUGUCAUAAAUCCGAUGGUGAUAGCAUAUACACUGUCAGUAUAUAGAAGAUUUACUCUAUGUAUUAUUACCUCUAGAAAUGAGUAGAGUUCAAGUAUAACUCAAAAAAAAUUUCACUUUUAAAAAAUAGCUAACAUCUGUGACUUCUCUUGUAAUAGAUGCCAAUUGGGCACCUGUUAACCAAACUAUUAAUUAAAAACUAAUUGCACAACAAAUGACUUUUGUUCAUCCAUCAAACACCGAUUUUCCUAACUCCAUUAAACCUAUGUCAAGCACUAAUUUUUCUUUAACUCUGUUGAACCUAUUUUGCCCCCUACCCGCCCUCCCCCCGAAACUAGCAUUCUGGGUCCAUCCCUGGCUACCUAGUGCUAGUCCCCUUGCCAUCUCUUGACUCGCGGUUGGCGUGGAUAGGGUAGUGAAUUAAUAGUUAUUUCGGAGUAGUUAUUUGAAAGAAUAAGCAACAGUUUCCUCUUUUCUUUUCCCUUUUCUUAAUUAUCCUUUUUGGAUUUUAAUUUUUUGAAUUUUUUUAGAAGAAUAUAUUUUAACAAUAUGAUGUAUGUUUAGUUAAAAAAAAUGAUUAAAAAAUUGUGUCAAAAAUAUUCUCAAAUUUUUCUACCAAAACUUGCAAUCCAAAUAGUUUUCUUUUUCCUCAGGAGAUGUACGAGGACUACAAUUACUAGAAUUUCGACUCAAUAUUGUGCUAUUUCACGAAGUGCUUCAUAAAUCCCUUUGUCCAUACUUGGCCACAAUUCACAUGUCACAAUCUGCACUUACUUUUCUUUUCGACAAACCAAAUGAGGCCUAGUGGAAAUACUAACGUUUUGAGGGGUCAAUUAGUUAUUUCGUUAAUCCACAACGGCCAUCGUCACGUUAUCCCCAUUGCGAAGGCGGGAAAUAUUUUUGUCAAAUUCACACACUCUUUCUCCCACUCAGCCUCUCCUCUCUCAAUACAUAAAUUUCUAGGGUUUAAUAAUUCAUACGAAGAUUAAUCUUGUAAGAUCAGAAAACCUUGGAACAGAGCAAUGGCGGCAGCCGAGUCUGAGGCUGAGGCGCAACAACUCAUUUCCCGACUUGGCAAACAACUUAAAGCUUCCAAAACUUGCCCAAACAAAGACUCCCUUGUCAAAUGGCUAAAAGUAAUUACCUGUCCUCGAGUACUCUUUAUUCACUUUAGCUGUUGGGCAGAUUGAUUUUAUUUUAUUUUUUGUGGUAUAUUUUACAUUUUGAAGUUAAUUAUCGCUUUUACGGUUGUGGGUUUCUCUGGGUUAGUUGAAUUUUUUUGAGGCGGUUUCAUUUGGGUUAACUUUGUUGUGAUUUAUGGGGUAAUUAGUUGAUUGUAUUUAAUUUUUUUUGCGGUAUAUUUUACAUUUUGAAGUCAAUUAUCGCUUUUACGGUUGUCGGUUUCUCUGGGUUUUGUUGAAUUUUUUUUUGGGGGCGGUUUCAUUUGGUGAACUUUGUUGUGAUUCAAGGGGUAAUUAAUUGAUUUUAGGUUUCUUAGCUUCUAUUUGUUUAGAGAAUCGUGGGAGAAAGUGAGGGAGAUCAUGUAUAAUUCUGGACUCUAGAACACAGCGCGCAACUUAAAUUGGUGAAACUCAGUGGGCCUAAAACAUGUUUAAGCGUAUUUACUUGGGGGAUGUGGGUAUUGAUGUUUACCCUAAUCUAAUUGAAUUCAUUGCAGGAAGCUGUUAUUGCUUUGGGAAAAUUUAAACAGUUGAAAUCACUGAAUUCAGUAAUACAACCUCUGAGUGAUUCUCUUAUUAAGCAUGGCCUGCUUCAGCACAAGGAUAAAGAUAUUAGAAUUUUGGUGGCGACCUGCUUCUGUGAGAUUAUCCGGGUCUUGGCUCCAGAUCCUGGUUUCAGUGAUGAUGUUUUCACGGUAACAGUUACAUUACUGUGAUUUGUUUACCAUGUUCCCUUCACUUGUCUCCAUUUUAAUUUGUUAAGAUCCCAUGUAUUGUCUUCCCCUUUGAUGGGAAAUCUUUCAUAUGUUAAUGGGCAACUGAUUCUCGUUGCAGGAUAUAUUUAAACUUCUUCAAAGCAUAUUUGCGGAGACCGGUGAUUACAAAAGCCCAUAUUUUUCAAGAAGGGUGAAACUGCUGGAGACAGUUGCUAAGCUGAACGUUUGUGUACUAAUGCUGGAUGUUGGAUGCGAGGAUUUAAUUCUCAAAAUGUUCAAAAUCUUUUUCAGUGCUGCGAGGUUAUAUUUUCUUGUUUCAUCUGUGUUUGCUCAUGCCCUUCUUUUACCUGGAAUCAGUGAGAACUAUGUUGCUCUGCCUUUUGGGAAGGCUACGCAUUUUAUGCUUAUAAUUUUUGUUUAGACUUCAACAGUCAGUCACUAAAGAAUUCAUGGAGCACAACCAACUAUAUUGCAUUCACAAUAACACAAAGGAAAACAAAUAAGUCAAUAAUUUCUACAAAAAAUGACUAAAAAAAAAAUUUAGGCUUGCAGGACGCUUGCACACAAAGGUUAGAAAAUAAGUUUGGUAAGACAUGCCAAGAUUGGAUUGUGCAGGAAUCAGAGAAGCCCUUUCACAAAUUAGAAAACUGAAACUAACAUGAAACAAUCAAAUAACAAGUUUCAGUACCCUAAACCAAAGUUUUUUUUGCUUUUAUGGGUUCUGCUUUGGGAUUUAAGAAUUCCUUACUGAAAGAAGAGUAGGGCCAUGAGGGUUGGCUGGAUAGGAUUUCUUAAGGAAAGAAUGGCUGGAUGGGCUAUCUUAAGGAAAGAAAACUCAAAUUGGUAGAUGAGAUUCUUAAGGAGAGAAAACUCAAAUUGGUAGAUGAGAUUUAAACUUAUUGAUGGAUACAAAGUGUGCGAGGCUCUUAAUAAGCUUGGCAGAUUGGGGAAAAUGUUACACAACUGCAGACUAAAUAAGGUGAGACAGGAUUGAGGUAAAGAGGGUUUCAAGUAUCUGUGCAGAGUAUAGCAAACUUGAAGUAUGAUUCUUGAAGUUGACUAGGAGACUUCAAAGAGUGAUAUCAGCUAGUCUGCAUGCGGGAAACAGUUAGAGUAACCGGAAUGGUAAAAAUUUGAGAAGAGGAUACACAGUAUGUCAUAGGCUAUAAAGACUGUUUAAAUUGGUGGAUUGUGCUUGUAAUCAGGCGAUGAAAAGACUUUUACUGGUAUAUGAUUGUUUACCUACCAAAAAGCUUCAAGGUGCAGUGGAAAAAAUAAGAUCUGAAGAGCUUUUCUGUUACUAUUCUUUCUUAUCCCAUUAGUUUCAUGCCCCAAUCAAGGGCCCUUUUUUGUGUUAACCAGAAAGAGAAAAUAGAAAGUUAUGUUGCUGUAUUGAAUUUGUUGAUGCCAUAGUUAAGUGCUAUAGAUUCUUUAGAGCUGAAAUUAUUUUGGAACCGUUCAGCUGUCUUGAGAAAGGAAACAUGUAUCUGCUGUCAUGUUUAAUAUAUGCUUGAGAUAGAGUUAGCUAAGAGAAGCAUAUGCUUAUGGGUUUACCAAAGUGCCUUCACUUGUCAUGUUUAUAUAUAUAUGCUUGAGAUAGAGUUAGUUAAGAGAAGCAUAUGCUUAUGAGUUUACCAAAGUGCCUUCGCGAAAGCUUUGGUACCAGAAACCUAUUUUGCAAGCUUUCUUAUUGUAAAAAUUUCCAUUGGAAGAAUAUAAUUCUCCAACCUAUUAUGACAGUUUAUCUUUUGUUAUCAUCUGAUCACAAUUUUGAACACUUAUGCAUAAUAUAAUUAUCUUUUUUUUUUUGUAAAGGCUAUAUGUAAUUAUUAAGCUAUUCUUUGACAAUAGUUCAACUAUUCCCUGCAGAGAGCAGCAUCCUCAGAGUGUGAUUAAUGCAAUGUCAUCUAUAAUGGCUCGCAUUUUGGAAGACAAAUUGGAAGAGAAAGAUCUCGAGUCACUCAUUUUUCAGGAAAAAUUUUCUGAGCCACUCUUGGAUGUGAUUAUACAAAAUCUUUUGAAAGAAUCAAAGGCAAGUGUUAGCUACAUGCUUUGCUUGUGUAAAAUAGCAUGAUCAAUGUCUUGUUGCAGUUUUGCUUUCUAUAUUUAUGGCAAUUGAUUAUAUUUAGAACCAUUUCAGAUGAUUUUGUAUUUUUGUUAGUUGUAGUUGCAUGUGAAAAUGGAUGAAAAAAUAGAGGUUUAUACCAACAUAAUAUUGGCAGUUAUCAUAUGCUUAGCAUGCUCAAAGACAUAAUGGAUAUUCUCUACUUAUCCUUGAAAACUGUUACCUAUUCUGCUCAUGGUUGUUUUACUUAAGCAUGAGAGGACUUAAGAUGAUCAGAGAUAUUAUGAGGUCUGGGCACCUGCUGCAGCAUAUUGAGAACUUUAUGAAUUACGAAUUGAGUCUAAUAUCUACUCAUGGACGAAAAGAGUAGGUGCAUACCUACAUGAUACGUGCAAGCUUUUUUAUUAAAACAUUUUGGGAGGGUUCUUGAUGGUUAGACUGCUUAAUCAGGUGUACUGGAGGUACCAUUUGGGGUUCUUUAGCAGAUUAUUUCCAAAUCUCUGGCAUAAAGUUGUUGGAUUGUCUCCCUUUUGUACUCUUCUUUUAAGUUGUCUACUUUUAUUCUUUUUAAGGAUUUUCCUUUCUUAGAGUUUUAAAGUUCAGCAUUUUAGCAGUCUUUGAACACUUUUUCCACUCUAUCUUUGAGUAUCAAAUCAGGACCCUUAGUUCGACAUCUCUCCUUUGGUCCAGCCAAUGAUGACCCUUUUGUGGACAUAUCAAUAGUUAUUAAUUUGUUGAAACAGUUCUUUUUCAGAGCCAUCAUUAAUUAUUAAUUGAUGAAGAGCUGCUUUACCAUGAUUCUUCCCUUGCUUUGUUGUCAUUUGUGAUUGAACUUAAAAAAUUUUGCUCUUGAAGCAUUUGGUGACAAGUAUUUAAUUGCUAGUUCAUUGGCUCAUUUGGUGUUUGAAUAUUAAAGGCUUAUUAGUAGAUCAGUACUUCAGAUACGUGGUUAAAAAGGGAUUCCUUGCUUUAGUCUUGUUGCAGUUGCUUUUUAAAUCAAACAGAUAAAUUGUCUGAUAGCUUAACUAAUUCUCAUAUUUAGCCGUACAAAAGUUACUCAGAAGGUUAUUAGAUGGUCUUUAUAAUAACGAGUCACUGUAGAAUUUGUUUAUUGCAAUAUUUCCUGUUUAGUAGUAUGGAUUAAUACCUUUUCUCUUUGGUGAUUUAUUUAUGUCUCUUGCAGGGUGGAUCUGGUGGCUUUGCUCGGCUUGCUGUUUCUGUCAUUCAGAACUGCAAUGAAAAGCUUGAACGCUGUAUUUGUACAUUUUUAAGAUCUUGUAUUUUGAACAGAGAAAGUAUUGGGAGUGAACUUAAAGAGUGGUACCAUGACAUUCUCUACGAAAUCUUCCGGAGUGCUCCUCAAAUGCUUGUUUCUGUAAUCCCUAGCUUAAGCCAUGAAUUACUCGUGAGUCAUUUUCCUUUCUGAGUAGCACCUUUCACUAUGCAAAGGGGAUAGAUUUUGUUGGUAACUGGUAUCCUACUAGAGAUUACUCAGUCAUCAUAUUGUGACUGCAUUAUCUUUCAGAAUCAUUUACCAAUCUGUAUAUCAUGAUAAUAUUUUUGUCAUUCCUCUUGAUGCUUUAAUUAAUCGUUUGUGUAAUAUGAUUUGCAGACAGAUCAGGUUGAUGUCCGUAUAAAAGCUCUUAAUUUACUUAGAAAAUGUUUUUCUUUGCCUGGCCACAACAUUGCUGAGGAGUAUCACAACCUUUUCAUGGAUUUUCUGAAUAGAUUUACGGAUAAGUCUGCUGAAGUAAGGUUAUGUGCUCUUUCAUGUGGUAAAGCUUUGUACACUAACAAUCCAUCUGGGACAGGAUCAUCACAAAUUCUCAGUAAGCUUUGAAAAUUUGAUUGUUCUGCUGCAUUUCAUGAACAUUGUUCUGCUAUCUGAGAUAAUCUUAAGCCUUUUAUUUUCUUUUUUUUUAAUCUUUUUUUUUGUACAUUCUUUGAAAUGAGCAGCAGAGCUGGAGAGUCGACUCUUAGAUUUUGAUGAUAGAGUUCGAAUGCAGGCUGUGAGUAUUGUGUGUGAUGUAGCAAGAUUACAAAUAGGCUCUGUUACUAAUGAACUAAUAAGUCAAGUGGCUGAUAGGCUUCGUGAUAAGAAGGUUACAUCUAUUCCCACCUUUGCAGUUUCUGUUUAGGGUGGCGAUUCUGAUUAUCAAAGAAAUAAGGAGAAGACAGCUGAUGAUUUUUUUUUUUGAAAAAAAAAACAGGUAUCUGUCAGAAAGAAAGCUUUGCAAAAGUUGCUGGAACUAUAUCAGGAUUAUUGUACAAAGUGUGUUGGAGACAUCAAGAUGCAUUUUGAGCAAAUACCUUGCAAAAUUUUAAUGCUUUGUUAUGACAAAGACUGCAAGGAGUUCAGGUAAGGUCUAUUCCCUCAUCAAUCUUUGUUAGAUAAAAACUCAUUGCUGUUUCAAUACACAUUUUUUUUGACUGAAUUUUUUUAACUUUCAGGCCACAAAGCCUGGAGUAUGUACUAGCAGAAGAUCUAUUUCCUGUUUCACUUUCAGUUGAGGGAAGGACAAAUCACUGGAUUUUUUUGUCCUCUCUUUUUACACCAUUGCAUGUGAACGCAUUGAAUGCCAUUCUAUCUCAGAAAAGAAGGUAUUGGUCCCAAGUUGUUGGCUUAACUUAAUCAAAAAGUAUUUUCUGUAUUCAUGUCUUUUAUGCUUUCAGGUUACGGAAUGCACUGCAAGCUUACUUACAUCUCCGGGUCCACAAGGAGGUAUGAUAGAAUAUUUAACUUUAAGCUAGCUAAUUAGCAAGCUGUUAGUUCCUGUGUCGUCCUGCAAAAUUCCUUUAGUGGGCCCUCAUGACUUGAAGAUUGAUUACUUUUGAAGCUGUUCUCCUUAAUUUUCUUUUCAUAGUUAUACGUAAGUUUGUGUGGCGAUGAGGUUUAUUUACUUUGCCUGGAUAAUUCUUGUUAAUUACUUGAUGACAAGCUCUGGAUAAUUGUUAUUAGUUACUAGACAACAAGCGAUUAGGAUUAUUUUGCAGGUAGAGAUGAAGAUCUUUCCAGUGAAUAAGAGCCUCUUUGAAUCUUGAGGUUGUAUCUACGAAUCUCACUCUACAAGGCCCCCUCCCCUCGUGCAGGGUUCUCCAACAGACACAAUUUAUGGCACUGAUUGCACAUGAGAAUCUGACACUAUAGUCAAUGUGAUAAUGCUUUCAAGACUUUGAGAUCUCUUGUGAAAUUUGUGAAAACUUAUGCCUCGUUUUGGACAUGAGUAGUAUUGAAUGUAUAAUCCUUCAGUGUCAUAGUUUACUCCAGAUUCUAGAUGGAACUAUUGUAAUUGUGGAUUUAAAUACUUCAUUCCAUGGCAUAUAUUACAUCUGUAAAUCAGAUUGACCAAUUUUACAAAAAUUAUAGAUUGCUCAAAUUUCCAAUGAUUUAUAAGCAGAGUUAAAGUAUAUAAGCACGUGACAAUGUAAUAGUAAUGUCAAAAUAACAAUGGUUCUAAAAAUUUGGAGAUUUCAAAUGAAGUUUGUAUGUAGCUAGUGUUUUUGGAUAUGAAUAAUAGUGGAUAUAUAACUCCCCUGUGCCAUAGUUCACUCCAGAUUCUAGAUAGAGGCUACCUAGUUAUGAAUUUAAGCACUUCAGUCCAGUGUGUUUGUGCACAUAUAAAGCAGAUCUUACAGAUUAAUAUUACAUUGCUGAAAUUCCCCUGAUUAUACUCAGAAUUAGAAGUUUUCAUUGGAAAAUGUUUAAUGAUAAUUUCCUUAGACCAGAAAUAUGCUUCACCAUGUUUAGAUUGAUAUAUCAUGAGUGUAUGCCUCUUGAAGGAUGCAGUUUCAAAUGAAUUCACUAGUUUUUAUUUGUUUGGAUAAAUGUUUCCAUAUGUUAAGUUCAUUUUAGUUUAGUGAGUUGGACAAUUGAUCAUUAAUUCAACUACUGAGUGUUGAUGUGAGCCUACCAAGUGAUGACUUGCUUUGGAGCAUACUUAUAUGAAGCUUAAUUUUCUUUAAUUCUGCAAUUGCAAUGUGCUGUGCAUGUGAUUUUGGUUACAGCUGUUUAAGAAGGAUGGCAUAGGUAUGAUUGCAAUACUGGACCAUGCAUUUUGAAGCCAACAUUCAGUAUUAGCUCUCUAGAUGCUGAUGCCAACUUUCAGAAUAUAUUAAAAUUCUAUUUGAGAUUGAAUUGCUGAUGUUUCUCUUAAUUGUUGCUGAAAUAGUUUCUACUUUCCGAAAUUGGAAUGUUAUCUUUCAAAAAGCAUUAGGAAUAGUUGAUCAGGGUCCAUUAGUAAUCUUUAAAUAGUUUUCAAAUCAAUACACUAAGUUGUAGUCCCAUUGCUCUUCUCCUGUAGCCGUCAUGUUCCACACUUGUGUCUUUAGAGAAUUUAUUCUCCACCUCUUAGUUCGGCUGAUUAUAAAACAAAAUUUGGAAGGUGACAAGAAAAAAUUGCGAAUAGGUUAACAGUAAAAACGUGCAAAAAUCAACAUAAGAAGAGGACAUUAUUAGUUGGUAUAACUGGUCUGAUAAUGUUUUACUUUCUUAAAUUACAAUUGGCACACCAGUUCCAUUUUCUUAAUUUGACUACUGCUAAUAGCAGUCAGCACUUUUUUCCUUUUUUUGGCAAAAUGGUACUUGUUUUUACUUCUUUUCUCUAUGAAUCACAAACAUGAGAGCAAGGGUUUUAUUGUUUGCACUAUAUUUUUCAUAUAUCAACCCAAUAUAUUCAUUUUCUAAUAGUUGUCUAAAAUCUUAUGCUUUUACAGGAGAUAGGCUCUGACGAAAUGGAAAGGAAUACCAAAGCUUUAUUUAAAAAAAUGUCAGCUUUGUUUCCUGAUCCUGCAGAAGCAGAAGAGUGCUUUUAUAAGCUGAAUCAAGUCAAUGAUAAUGAUAUUUUCAAAAUGCUGGCAGACAUGAUAAACGUUGGAGAUGCUCUUUCUACUAGAGUAAGUUUGUCAUCCUUGCAAUUGGUUUUCUACUUUGCUUCUACUUGACUCUGUUUAAUAGAGAUCAUGUCCACUUAUUCAUCCAUAGAGCAUAAUGUCAGUGCUGUUGUGAGAAUGGAGUUUUGUUUUUUAAUAGGAGCUUUAGUAUUCCAGAACUUGCAUUGGCUUAAGAAUACUCUGCUAUUUUAUUUUUCAUCAUUGAUUAUUUGACCAUCUUGUAGAAUAAUUUUUCCAUGAUUGCUCCUAAAUUUAAAUCAGAUGUUGUUGCUUUCGGAGUUCUAAUUUUGAAAUGAUAUUUUAUUGUAAUUGAUGUUGGAAAAUGACUUUAAUUUGUGUUUUCGGGAAUUGUAUGAAUGAUGCAAUAGGGUUAAACCAUGAUAAAAAUCAGGAGAUAAGAAAAUAGAAUUCAUAGCUAAUAAAAUGGGAUGGAAACAUUGCAGACAAGUUUAUUGCUGUACAGGAUAUCUUCUAUUUCGAGCAUAAAUUUGAUUCUUACAAUACAAAGAGAUGAUAAUCUGCUUAACUAUUGCUGCUCAACAUUUGCUUAUCUUCUUAAGCACUGAUCUUGAAACGGCUACUGUUAGCUUCUGAACAUUUUUGGUCUUCCAUAUAAAAACUAUUACUGGUAGGCAAAUGAUGAGAGUAGUUAAAAUUUUCAACUGGUCCUUAUUUUUUUAUUUUGUAUUAGCUUGUUUUAUUUUUUUGACCUCUUUGUUUGUUUUUGUUCACCUUAUGUUCUGGAGUCUUUUUUCCUCAACUUGUUCAUUGGAGUAGAUGUCAGGUAUGGUACAUAGCAGAUCCGGUACAAAUACCAACUGAAAUGACAUUCUCUUGCCAUAUGUUGGUUUGUUCCAGUGAAAUGAAUGGUUUCGGCAGAAAAUGAGGAUGUCUAUACAGAUUUCAGAUGUUGCAUGCUUUGUCUUACAUUUACAUGCUUUUCUUUUCUGUGACCAAUCCUCAUUUUGUUUUAUUCACUGAAAUUAAGAGAAGAGGACUUCCCUGUUGAUUUAUUACCAGACUUUAAAAGGCUUGAGCUAUCCAAAAUAGAAGCAACAUGUUGCAAUUAAGGAGCUUUUCAAUAAGGUGGCCAUUGUUUUGCCUGGACAUAGCAUUUAAUCUGCAUUGCAAUCAUGAACAUGGCUACUAAUGUUUGUUGUUCUCAGAGCAGAUCACUUAUGUCUCUUAGCAUUUAGAAACAUGAAUGUAUUAUUGAACAGUCUCCUGUAGUUAGUAGAGACAAAACUGCAGUCAAGAUUUUUUUGGGGAUUUAUCAAAUAGGGUAAAAGUUUAUGGUUUUCUGACUUUGAGAUAAUUAAAGCAUGAAACUUUGAAAUACUGCUUAUAUGCAAGGUCAAAGUCUGCUAGUAUGCUGCACCAUGAUAUCCGAGGCUAAGGCCAAUCAAGCUGCUGAGGUCUCUUUGGGCUUUGUUGCGAGGUUAUGGUAAUGCAUAAUUGUAGCAAGGCCAUUACACUUGAAUCUGAAUGUUUUUCAGUAAUGUGUGAUUGCUACUCUACAAAUUUGUAUAAAAAGAAAGAAUUAAUGUUAUAUACACUCUUGAGUGUAAAGAUUUUUUAUGCUAAUAGGUAUAGGUGUAUGAUACAUUGACAAAAAGUGAAUUUAAAAUUUGAACAGUAAUGAUGUAGCGUUCAUCUAAACCUGCUUGUGUAAAAAAAUCUUUACACUGACAGUGUAUAAAAAUUAAUCCCAAAAAGAAAACAAAGAGAAACAAAAAGGAAGAAAGAGAAAAUUGUAGUGGAAAAUGUUUUGGUAAAAGAAGCAUGCAAAAAUAGAUUCAAGACUCCUUGAAAAUUAUUGGCAUACUUUAAAGCAAUCAAAGUUCCAAAGCAAACAGCAAACAAGAAUAUCUUAUAGUUAGGAUGGCAUAGACCUGGCAAAACAAACCCAAAGCCAGCAAUCUGCUAAACUCAGCUGAGAAAUUUGGAAGGUUUUAUGGGUUUAGUUUGGCUUUGAGUUUAGUUAGGUUGGGUUGCUUAUAUUGGUUUGUGUUUGUGCCUGUUGAAUAUCCAAUUUUUAAACCAACUCAUUUACUCAACACAACAGAAUACCAUCAGCCCUAAAACGAAAUAAAUAAAUAAAUAGAUAACAUCUCAGCCUUUUCCCUCCUACAGCAGCUUUCCUUUUGUGGCUCUAGUAGUGGCUGUACGGCCAUCCAGUCUUUCAUUCUGAUAGCACUUGAGAGAAACUAGACAUACUAUGUUCAUCUAUUGUUAUAGAUAUAUUUGACAACGACAUUGAUUAUACAACUUGCUAUGCUUCAUUAGUAUUUGAAUGUUCAAGCCUUAGAUCUUAAAUGUUUUAUUUAGAUUUGAGAAAAAAAUUACCAAUGGAUUCUUUCUUGGGUUUAAAAAAGCUAUGUGUAGAAUUUGUGAGUUUUUUGCUCAGUGGCAGAGAGAAGAUAAUGGUGCCCAGAUUAUACACCCCCAUUGUAUGUGAUUUUGGUGAUUUUUGCUUCAUUGUGACCACAGAUUUGUUAUCUAUGCCAAAGUCGGAGAGUGAUUUUGAUGUCCUGGAAAGGGACGGACAACUGUCACAGUGAGCAACAGUCGAGGGGAAGGUAAUUGGAGAUGUUAGUUGUAUUUUGAGGUUAAGCUGUGGCUGUGAGGUUUUUCUGGUGAAGAAGAAAACAGAGAUGUAAAACAAAAAGUUUUGAUCAUUAUUGGCUUUUGUGGGUUCAAAUGACCCAAAGAUGAACUGAUGCAAUGUUAGUCCCCUAACCAGUUGGGCAAGGUGGGUUAUGAUCCAUUUUUCGAAAACCCACUUCUGGUCUGUCAAGUACAAUUGGAUGCACCCUAUUGCCAUCACAAGGAUGGCAGCAAGAAUUGCAGAAGAAAUACUGGAAAAUGUGAUUAGUAACAAUAUUUUGGAACAAAAAAGCAGCAGCAUUAGCCAUGCAAUGAAAUAACAAAAAGCAAUAAAUAGUGUGGGAGGGAUGUUUAGUUGUCUAGAAGAAGGGAGGUACAGGCAGGGGGAUCUGUGGGUUAUUGUUACUGUUGUAAUUGGAGUGAAAGAAAAAGGAGAACUGGACACUGGGAUGGAUCUAAUUAGUGGGAUUCUGCCUGGAAAAAGAAUUGGAAGAGCAGGAAGAAGAGGAGAGGUAUUCAGAGAGAAAAAUACAGCAUUCAGGUGGCCUUUUUGGGGCAAGGGGACUGUACUGUUUUGGCAUUUAGGAAGCUUUUUUCAGUUAUCCAAUUGAAUCUGAUUUUUGAAUCUUCAACACCCUUGAUUGACGAUUUAAGCAAAUUGUCAGUCAACUUAGAUUCUUCAGUGUUUGCUGCAACUGCAAAAUGGGGUGUAAGCAAAUAACAGUCAGUAAUGUAAGUGGGACUAACUAAAACAAGCACAAUUGUCAAGAGGUGCAUGUCUCGUAUGUUCUUCUUAAGUGGUUAGACUUGUAUUCACUAAAAUGACACGGCAUUUUUCUGUGGCCAUAGCAAUUUGGUUUGAUUUAUGCUGUCAGGAAAAGCUCUAUUCAUUAAGGCUUAGCUGUUUUGGAGGUUAAGAACUUCCUAAUUUUAUGGAUUUAUCCCCUGUGCUUCAUCAUAUGCAGGUUUGUUCGUAAGAGAUUGAGCUUUAAUCCAAAAAUUGUAUUUUUAUGAGGUUGACAUGAGCUGUAGAAGGCUAAUGGCUAAAAUCUUUGAUAUCUAAGUCAAUAUAUACUUUCCAUGAUCUAAAAUUCUGAGUUUGCUGAGCUAUUUGUCUCCGGUGUUGACAUGAUAAAGCCCUUAUGUUAUUGCCUUUCCACUCAGUUAGAGAUCAUCUUCCCUGUAUGCUUGCGUUAUGAAUUUGAUAUAAAUUUGACUCCAGAGAUGACUUAUUAUCUGUUCAUUAAGGAUUCUGGCUAUGGUUGCAAUUCUUUUUUGCUUGUUGUCAAGUAGCUCUUGCCUAAGCAACCUUCCAAGAUCCACUUACUUUUCCUCUUUGUGCCGAAUUUUGACAUGCCUUUCAAAAUUUAACAGGAUUGAAUGGUAUUACUAUUACAUUUAACAGUCAUGUUUGAGAUAUCCUUCUAUUGGUUUCCAUUAAAAUAGGGAAGGCGUGUUUACCUUCUAAGAAAUUACUCUUGUUUAUUCCUGUAAAUCAGUAGGGUAUAAACAAGAACUGAAAAAGAUUGCUACUGCUUGUCGCUUUGUAAGAUGUAGCCUAACAGAGAUGGAUUCUUUGAUUUGGCCUUUCAAUAUUGGUGUUCUUUUUUUUUUUUUUUUUUAAACCCUCAACUUUCUUUCUGCAUGUGCUCUGAUUUGAUAUUAUGUAUCAAGUUCAGCUUUUUCAUCUCUAGUAUCGACCUCUUAUCUUGUAUUUUUUCUUCCAGGAUAACCUUCUGAGGAAGAUUGGAGACCAGAGUCCACUUUUUGAUUUCUUGAGAUUGCUGUCAUCCAAGUGCUCGUUAAACAUAUUUAGUUCUAGGCAUGUCAGCUGUAUCUUAGACCAUCUUACUUUUGAUAAGAGCAUUCGCAAUACAAAAUUGGACUAUUCUCCUCUGCUGCUUCUUUCAGUAAGUUGGAUUGCUCAUUAUACAACUUAAGUUGAUCUCUUUCUUCUUUAUGUAGCUACAUGGUGCUGCACUUAUUGCCUUUUUUUAUAUCUAAAAUUUUUGUGGUGUCUCACUGGACAUGAACAAGAUGCGGAGGUAAAAGAUAUUAGGUUUUCAUCCUUUCCUUCAAUCAAUUCUCAAUCAAGCGCAAAUUUGUGAUUCAAGCAUAAACGAUUAAAUUCACAGAGUACCACAAUGCCCUUGUCCAAAGAGGGGGAAAAAAGGUUCCAGUCAAUUGAUAGCCAAAAAGGAAAAAGAUUGCAGUAGAAUUACAUUUAGUGUUGUUAAAGUACCUAUAUCUGCCUGUGUUACCACAUUGCAAACUUUUAAUAUCUCCUUAUGUGAAACUGGUUGCAGAGAACCUGUCUUGAUUGGUUGAGUAUAAGCAUACUUUUGGAAAAAAAUGACCAGGACCUUGAAACGCUAGUGCAUUUGUGAGAAGUAAGUUUGGUGUCUGUUUUAAAGCUUAGUGUUUUGACAAUUAAAUUCUCCUUUAAUUGAGAACUUCAUAACGAUAUGAAAGAAUGGAAUUCUAGUUUGGAAAAUAAUGCACCUGACAAUCCACGCAAUGCAGAUAUGCCCUACCAACUUGGUGUGUUAUACAAUGUUUGCAACCUUGUUGCAGUGACAAAGUCUAUGUAGUAUACUGUAUGGGAAUUUUUUUUCCCAAUAUGAAUGCAGAAGGUUUGGCUGUAGCUUUAUAUGCUUCCAGUUAACUAAGAAACCUUCUACUGAGUUUCCACUCAUGUAGAAUGAUAAAGUAGGAAAUAUUAUCCUGUUCCAAUUAAACUUUUUUUUUUAAUAAAAUUGAUGGAGUAAGGGGCAAUGUAGAAGCACAAGCAAGACGCUUGAGUUAUUGGAAGUAGUCACUCUAAUUCUCAUCUAGCAAGAAAAGUUUUUGCCUUUUAAGUGAAGUGACAGGCAGUAGAUUAUUUCUUAAUUUUCCAACAAUUGGACUAGUGGAUGCAGUUUCCAGGGUCUAGAAGAGUUAUGAUGGUGGCAAAUAUUUCCUUUACACACUGUUUCAAGAUAAUUCUCAAUAGUUGUUGGAAGUACUCAAGCAUAAGGAGUGUAUCUGCAAUUAAAAAGCCUUGCUAUCAAAGAGUUUUUUAAUAAGCAGAAAUAAGCGUCUCACUUAAAUUCAUGUGUAAUUUUAACCACAAUAGCCUCCAGAUCAGCUACAAGGGAACAAGGGCUCAGAUAAAUGGGGAAUGGAUCUAAUUGGUGCAGUUGCAUGACAAUCUCAUAGUUACUGCUGUCUCUCAUUGGGUAAAAUAGGGGAAUCCUGGAACAGCAGUAGCUAAAUGGGAUGCUUUUUUCAUACUAUCUUUUGCACAUAGCCAUGCAUGCAUAAGAAGUAGAUGUAUAAGCAAAAGAUGUAAUUUCUAUAGAUUUGCCACAUAUAUGUAUUUUGGUUUAUCCUUUGGUUAUUAAGGAUGGAAAGAAGACCUGUUUUGGUCUGUUCUACUGGACUCAUAUAAUGAUAUUCCAGCAGUAUGUCUCAUGCACUAAAGUCAAAUUUUCGUUUACCUUGUAUAGGCUAUUAUCAGUGCUUUUCCCUCACUUCUUAGAAGUUCUGAAGAGAAGUUCCGGCAAUUGUUAGCUGAUGAAGAUAUCCCUUUCAACGAGCAGCUUAUUCAGUUUCUAGCAAAAGAAGGAUCAAAUAUUUCUAUCAAGCUGAGGUAGGGUUUUCCCGUCUUAAUGUCAUUGUGGCAUUUGGUAAGAUGUACACUGCGGUAUAAUGGGUUUUAUAGUUAUUAUCUUCUGUAGUUUACUUUUCAUUUGAACUCAAAAAAAUAUUUUCCAGGAAGAUAGCUUGUUGAGAUGCAUAUUCUAAUAAAAUUUGUUAAAAAAAAAAACAACGUACUAACUGUUUAUUAUCGGAGUGCUUCUAUUUGUUAAGAGUAUUUUUUAUUUUUAAACAGGAAGUGUAUCCCCAUCCAGAAUGGACAUGUGAUUACUGGCAAAUUUUCUAAUGCAAAAUUGUGUGUGUGUGAGAGAGAGAGAGAGAGGGGGAGAGAGAGAGAGAGAGAGGCAGACAGAAACAGAGAGUCUACAUGCAUGAGUGUGGGUAAGCUAUGCUUAUUUGAAAAGCAGUCCUGAAUUCCAGUUGAGAAUUUUUGUUAAUUGGCAGAAAGAAGAGGUCCACAAACACAAGGCUUAUUACUCUAUCUGUCUGUCUAUCUUUUGGAUGUUUAUGUUACUUUAGACUAUUAGUUCUGUAUUGUCCUUUUUGUUACUAUUUUGAUUGGUUAUAUGGAAUUUAUCCAUGUAGUGAUUGUUACAAUUUUUUGGAGAGGGUGCGCUUGGAAGGGACUCAAGCAGAGGCUAAACUUGCUGUGUCUGCAAUUGCAGCUUUAAGUGAUUCUUCUGAGGAAGUCAUUGUCCCAAAUUUGUGUAAGGUAUUGUCUAUCUCAUUUUCUGUAUGUUGAUGCAGUUUUAAGUCAUGUAAUCAGCAUAGGAACUAAACUAAGGUGAGUGACCUGUUUGGCCUAGAAUAUUCAUUGCAUAAUAAGAUAUGUACUUUUGGGGCUUUGUUUCAUCAACUAAGCCUAGUUCUCUGCUGUAGUAUGAUUAGAAGCAUGAAUUUUGGUAAACAUCCAGAUCUGAUGAAAUCUCAUGCAUUCAUGCAUUUACUUAAUACACGAAUGGAUGAAUUAAUGGAUAAACUUCAUGCACUUGUUUUAUCAUGCUUUUGCAUUUUUUGUCUUUGAUGCAUAAAUUUUCUCUUUAUGACAUUGUUAAAGUAGGUUUUUUAUUUUAUUUUUUUCCUUUUUCCUUUUUAUGAGGCAAUCUGGUUCUUGUAUGCCAUGAACAGGCAUCAUAUGUCAAACAUCAUCAAGUUCUGUCGGUUCAAAGUGUUGCAGAUAGUAUAUGCAGUUUAUCUUGUUGAUGCAGUUGUCCUUGUAUUUUAUGUUUUAUGCAACCAAGUUGUUGACCUACAACAUGAUUGCAACCUCUUUGUUCUUAAAGAGAUGAUGCUAUACUUGAUAGUAGUGUUGAAAGGAAAAAAAAAUAAUGAAAGUUAUGGAGGAAUUAACGGGCAGUAAAAUGAUUUUCAAAAUACUAGUAUAGUAGAUGGGCUUUCUUAAUCUACUUCAUUUGGCGAGAUUAUGAGAACUUGUGUUUUUGCUCUCACCUAUGGCAGCAUCGCGAAAGACAAAACUUUGACCCACUUGGCCAUAUUAGGUCUGCUAUGUAUGUGAUGAUUUUUUAAGUUUUUGUUAUGGUAGUGCCUUUCUGGGUCAUUCCAGUUGGUAUUUGAUCAGGCUCCAUGUGGUUCUAUGAUAACAUUAACUGGGCCUCUCAGGGCUUCAAUAAGGCAAGUUAUUAUGCGAGUAGGGGUCAUUGCAUUUCGUAUUAAGUUAGCAUCUGUGUGGUCUUUGUGGGGAUUAGCAACAACUUUCUGGGUGUCAACAAGGAAAGUUGUUAAGCUAGUGCAGAGGGUUGUCCCCCUUUAGUUUAAGCUCCUGACAUGACCAUUGUGUUAAAAGAAACAGUGUUUGAACUGUUUUAUACACUGUUGAGGAGGGUUAAGGUAUGUAUUAUGAACACUGUCAGAUAUAUAUUAAAAUAAAAAAUGGAACUUUUAGUACUACCUUAAAUUUUGAAAAUACACCAGUGAACUUUUAAAGUUUGUUGUCAUUAUACAUCGAGAUAAACUCAGGAAAAUUACAGUUUUGGAGUAUUAGAACAAACUUUUAAGUUUAUUGUUCUCAACAUAUAUUAAGAUAAACUGAGCUGAGAAAUCUAAAUCUGGCAUCUUACUGAUUUUUUCAUGUGAAUGCUUUUUGGAAUUUCAUGUUAAUGGUGGAUUAAGGUUUACUAGUGAAGGAGUUUCAGUCAGGCCUUCAGAAUAUUUAAUCUUCUGUUUAGUAAUUUUAACUUGACGCACAAACAGAAGUGAUCUUAAUUUUCAAGAACUUUGGGUUCUUUCAGCUGUGGGCUCCACUGAAACUAGAUUCAAACUGAUUCAGACCCAGAUUACUGGCAUGGAACAAAAUGAGAUACCAUUUCUAAUUUCUUUCUCCACAGAACUUGUCAUUGCACUACUGCAAUCUUUUAUUCUCUCUCUCUCCCCCCCCUAUAUCUGAAGCAUUUUGUGUCUGCCAUGUCUCCCUAUCUGCCUUCCAUAUUUGGGCCAAAUAAUCCUUUUGUCUUAAUACUGGGCAAUAGUGGGACCCAAACCCAUGAUGCUUGUGCCAUAUCUGAAUCAUCAGGGAAAUCUUUGGGGCAAGUAUUAUUGGGAAGUUGACUCGUAAUUUUGGAACUCAGACUUCUCAAGUAAAUUAAUCAUGUUCUUCUCAUUAUUCAUCUGCUAUUAUGCUCACAAUAAUUAUGCAUAUUUGUCUUGUUCUUAUUUGUCAGACUUCUUGUACUAUCAAGAAACAUAGUGAACAAUGUUUAAAGAGUUCUUUGACUAGUGAUGCCAACAAAUCUGCCAAUUCAAACUUGACACUAUCUAAGAGUGCUGAUGCAUCAAGAAUUUGGAUAGAGGGUUUACAGAAAACUUCGCAUCAGGAGGUUCAUUCUGGAGGGACUGUUGAAGUGCACAAUGAGUCCUCUGUCGAUAAUCAGCAUGAAAUACAUGCAAGUGUAAUAUCUGAAUCCAUCAUGAGUAAAGAACGAGUUGGAUCUUCUUGUGACUCUGUAGCAACAAAACCCACAUUGGGCUUGAAGGAAGACUUUCCAAGCUGUUUACAAGAGAGGGACAUGAAUAUGACAUAUAACAGCAAUACUGAUAAAGUUGCCAAAUUGUCAACAGCCAACCACAAGAAAGUUAAUUUAGCCAAGGUUUGUGUAUUAUUUAACUCUAAAAUGACUAGAAAAAAUUUUUUGGGCUAAGUGCCUGGAAAAUUAUGUUCUGUCUACAAUUGUUGAUUGUCCUACUGUGAUUUGUCGGACUACUAUAGGAAAACAAAGACAAGGGUGAAGCAUCAGAUGUUGAGCACCGACAAAUGCGAGCUUCAACUCAUUAUAGGUGAGAACCUGCAGGUGAAGUUGCUCAGUUGUGAAACACUGUCCUGUCUUUAUGUAACAGACUUCUCGUUCUUUUACUUCUUAAUUAAAACGCGGCUAGUCUGGUGAAUUUGAUACCACCAAAUUUAGUAGGCAAUCAGGAUGAAUUGCCAGUUGCUUGGUUUAAUACACAAAUCAAUUCUAACAUCCGUUGAUUUAAACCAAUUAAACAUAUGAUAGCAAUAAUAAUCUAUUCAUUGGGACUGAGAUCUUAAAACCAAAUAUCUCCUUUGAUUCCAAAUUUUAGUUCAAGAGUUUGAAUUUAACUAUUUUGGUUGACCUAAAAUGACUUGUUUGACUGAAGCAUUGACUUGUUCAGCAUUUGCUGAAAAUACAAAAUAUGCCAAGCACUAAACUCAACAAGACACAAAGGAAACAUUGAAGCCUAAAUUUAACAUUGAACACUAAAAAGAAGUAUAUAUGACCUUGGGCCAGGCCAAAGCUUCUUUUGAAUAACGUAUAUUCUGUCUUAGCCUAAAAACUUCAGUAGUGCACUAGAGGACCAUUAUUGGUCCUGGUUUGGAUUUGGAUUGGUCCAGUUCCAUUGAUGUAAAAAACAAUAUAAAUUUAGUGCUAGACCUGUUCAUAAGAUCCAACCCAUAUUUGAUUAAUAGGUUUCACAAGUAGAUUGGUUAGAUCUGCUUGUUGCCCUGUGACAAGGAGCAUACCUGAUUAUGUAUGUGUGUAUUAGUUAUCUUAUGUUUAUUACCCCUUAAAAGUAUUUAUAACUAUUAGCCAUUGGAUUGCACCUCCAGUACUCUCUAUCAUUUAAAUCUGUGAAACUCUACCCCCAUUUAUGGCAUUUUGCAGCUUCUUCACCUAUGCACCACAUCCCAGUGCAAUCUCUCUCUCUCAUGUGCAGACAGACAUAUUCAAAAAGGACAAUACACGAUGUGUGUUUCUGUGUAAAUAUAUAAAAAAUUUGCUUAUUCUGGGCUCAAGCCAACUUGCUUUAGGUGAGUUGGCCACCAAGUGAAGCAUAAGGUGCAGGCCUGGCUGCAGGUCUGGGGUUCAAACCUCUGCGCCCUGCAGGAAAAUCCGAAGGAUGUACGGUAGUGCACCCUUUUGGUCCAGAGGUGGAAACUGCUCCUUGUAGCCCUCCUUUGCCUAGUUGGGCCCUCCCUUAGAUAGGUUAGAGUAGGAGUAGGAGCAGUAGACUUGACGAUUGACCAAAAGGAAUAAAAAGCUUAUUCUGGGCUCAUAUGUGCAUAUCUACCGUGGUUCUAGUAGUGCCUCUCUCACAGGAAUAGAUUCGUAACUUUGGAAAUUUUGAACUUUCUUUCCUUAUUGACACUUUAACUCAAGCGUGACUUUAUGGAAAAUCAGUUCUUGGUUUCUUUAUGAUCAAUAAUUCAGUAUUUCACUUUUAUUUUUUUCCUAAUUUUGUUAUUAAUUAUUUUUCCAGCUUCAGUUUUGGUGUGAAUGGUCUGUUUGCAGUGAGAUCACUUUCCUUCACUAUAAUGGUGUAGCAAAAAUGUUAAAAUAAUUAAAGUGGAUAAUAGCCAUAGUGACUCUUGAUGAAUAUUAACUAUCAAACUUGAGAAUUGAGCCAAGAGUCCGCCUAAUGAUGGUGCUACAUCUAAAUAUAUUGAAUCCUUUGAAAUGGUUUUGGAGUGAACUAUGGAUGAAUGUGCUCCAUCUAUCUGUGAUUUAUGUCACUGAAACUUUGUGUCAUUGUGGUACUAGACUUUUCACAUUGGUGGUUGGCCAACUUCACUGAACAUCUAAUACCUCAGUACCAUAUUUUGGGUAUUACAUUUCACCCAAUGUGGGUCCAGCAAGGCAUCUGCAUGUUUUAGGACUGUAGGAAUAUGGACCGGAUGAUGCACAUGUCAAUCUAUCUGAUCUGGAUCCUAAAAGAUGUCUCGUGGAUCGGCCUGCUUAUAUCUCUAUCCGCUUAUACGAGACCUUAUUCUGUAAAACUGUAAAGUUAGAUCCAUUUUCCUUCUGAUGGUGAAUUAAUGAACCAGAAGAAUGUUCAAUCUACAUACCUCCAUUGUUUUCCUCAUUGGACUUUAUUCAUAAAGGGUAGCAAAACUCCACAACUUUUUUUUCUCUCUUUUCCUUUUUAAAAGACAUGUAUUGCUAGGAUUAUACCUGAAACUGAAGAUUAAGACAUUCCUUUAAUAUUGUGGACCCAAGCUUUUUAUGCUAUUCAGCUGCCUCUGCCCUCAAACCUAUUUAGCCUUUCAGGUCAUCUUCCUUUUAUUUUCAGUUCUUUAAUCACGUGUAUAGGAAUACCUGAUUUGCAAAAUCUUUACAUUGUGGUUAUCAAUCUGAAAUUUCCCUUGUAUAUGUAUAUGCUUCCACCUUACUGGAAAGUACCUUUGAUAUAUUUGGCUUUGAUUCACAAUUGCUUACUAGUAUUUUUGUUAUUACAACUGUCAUGGCUAUAGGAUGUAUAGCUUGAAUGGGUCCUAUGAGAGAUUAUGUUUUUCCAUAUUAUCCUUCAUGAUAGAUGGUUGAUUUUACCCAUAUAUUUGUGUUCCACUGUCGAAAAUAUAUUAUUUUUAACAAGAUUUGACAUGGAUGAUUAAAGUUUCGCGGAAUUGCUGUUUUGUUUUUGGUGGCCGUCUAGUCUAAGGCUUCUUUAAAUAAAGGCGUAAGGAGAAGGUUCUCCAGAAGUAGAGCGAGAGAAAAUCAAUAUGAUAUUUGCGUUGGUUUUUCCAACGAAACCUUACACUUUUUUCUUUCUCAUUCGUGACUCUGGCUUUUAUCCAUCAUCUUUAAAGUAGUCUGACAUUUUUUUGGCUCUCUUCUUUUGGCAUGGUCGAGAUGGAAUGAUGGGGAGAACUCUUCUGUCCACAGCAAAAGGGAAACCUCUGGUGCAUGUGACUCUGAUUGCGAAGGAAACUCACUCAAGAAGACAAAAUUUUUUGCUGAAGAGAUUCCUCUGCCUGGUAAUCUCUAGAUAUGUCUUAAUUAAAAUCACAAUAAUUCAAUUUAUCUUGAAAAUUUAUAUAACAUGAAAGCAUCUUGUAUAAAAUUCAACACCUGUAUCUCUUUUUUGUCAAGCCAAUAACUUAACUGUUGUUGGCUCUGUUGGCCAUUAUUUUGUGGUGCUCCUCUACUGCUGCACUGCCGUCUGAACAUUACUUAUGUUUUAGUGUGCUUUAAUACUAUUUUCUUCUCUGUGAUAUAUAUCGGUCAAUGUUCUUGGUCAACGCAUGAUACUUUGUGGAACUACAGUUUCCAUUAGAGAGCAGCUAACAGGUUCUAUUAAAAACUAAACAUUACAGGGGAAGUUACGUUAAGGAUUUUGAAUAACUUUUGAAGGGUGCAGAUAACAUAUUAUGUUGGUGAUAUGGAUACAUAGUGUGACAUCUCUGACUUCUAGCUGCAGAGAAUACUAAGAAGAUACGAAGAUCAAAAGUUGCGGCAUCUAAAGCCAUCAAUGUGAACAAGGACAUGGUAAGGUUCUUCUGGCGUUUUUCUGUUUGUGCUUGAUAUGCUUCUAAUAUCCACAAGCUUCUUAAGAUAAAGUUUUAUUCCCAUAAGUUAGCAAUUUCUAAUGACCACAGCUUCCAUCUAAAUAAACAAUCUAUAUUGUUCGUCUUUGCGCAACAAACAACUAAUCUCUACAUCAUAUUUUGUGAUGACUCUUGUGUUGUAUCAUUUCAGAUUGCACGGAGGACUCGAAGACAGAAAGUUUAACUUGGUUAACUGUUCUAUUAACGUUCUUGUCAGUAAAUUGUUUGUCUCUAUGCCAUAUGACAUGUUUUAGUGAAUUCAUACUUUCACUAUUAGUGCAUAUGUGCGACUUUUUCAUCUUGUUUAUGGAGCUCUGUCACAAAUAUAGUAUCCCUAGGUUGGGAUGCUCCUUUGUUAUGUAUUUCGUGUACAGAUGAUGCAGAUUGUUGGAAUUACUGUUGGAUUUUAGAUUGACGCCCAGUCUGAGGACUGAAAAGUUUUUAGCUGAUUGAACAAUUAACAUUCCUUGUAAUUGUUCAGUUGAAAUUUUGUUUAUCAAGUCCGGCCUUGGAACUCUACUUUGAGGUUAAAUGAUAUGUGUACCCUCUGAUUCUUUUCAAUUUCAUGAGGGGUAUCUCUUCUUUUUGGUUUAUGGAAUGGAAAAGACUAAGCGGUAAGUGAAAAGCGGAUGUAGGAAUAUAGAGUAAAUAUCCAUUUCUAAUGGUGUUAACACAAGGGGGGAAAAAGGCUUCGCAUUAUUGGGGUAUUUUCUAAAAAUUUUAAAAAUCUCCCAUCACCACCCCCUUCUUCCUCUCUCCUACUUCCUCUUCCUCCCUCUUCCUUCCCUCCCAUUUCCCCUACUUGCAAAACCCUCCACCUCCCUUCCAGAAGCCAGUCACAAUCAGAGCUUCUCAUUGUGGGAUGGGGAGGGUUUUUGGGGAAAGGGGAGGGGAGGAAGAGGGAGGAGGAGAAAGGAAAAAGGUAUUUUUUAGUAUUAUUGAAGCCGAUACGGUAAACAUCAAACUGUCCGAGACCGGUAUUGUUGUUAUAACCACCCCAAGCCAGACCACCAAUGUGCUUCUAAAAACCAAGCCAGCCUCUCCAACUGCCACCUUCAUCAUGGCUGCCGCCUGCCACAGCCUACUUUACAGGGCUAGGUACCUUUGACAAUUCUACUAUUGCCAGGAUCCCUGAAUGCCAAAACCAUGCUUCCCACGCAAACAAAACGGUCAUAAACCCAACCCUGCCUGCAGUGAUUGGCACUGGCUUUCUUGCAAACUUCACCAGGAAAUUCCGUAGCUUAGUCACAGCUGAAUUUCCAGCAAACGUUCCACAGACCAUGCAAAAGCGGUUUUUCUUCACCAUAGGACUUGGAUCGAGUCCUUGCCCUGCUAACAAAACUCGCCAAUGAUCAAAUGGCACAAAAUUUGCAGCUUCGGUUAACAAUAUUUCUUCCGCUCUCCCAUCAACAGCUCUUCUGCAAUCCUACUUCUUUGGGAAAUCAGGUAAAUCAAAUGGUGUUUUCACCACUGAUUUCCCAACCCCAACCCACAAAUCCAUUCAACUAAACUGGAGCACCGCCGAAUAAAACACCAGUUAGCAAUGCAACCCGGACUGUCGGGUUACAAUUUAGUACGUGUUGCAAGACACUAGCAUUCUGGGGGCAGAGAGCCAUCCUUUUCACCUGCAUGGUUUCAACUUCUUCAUCGCUGGGGAGGGUUUUGGAAACUAUGAUCCAAACAAUGACCCUUCCAAAUUCAGACUAGUGGAUCCAGCGGAAAGGAAUACAGUGGGGGUUCCAUCAGGUGGCUGGAAUGCCAUUCGCUUCUUUACAGACAAUCCAGGUACCUAGCAAGAAAAACAAGAUGCACCUCUUACCAGAAAGAAAUAUAUUCAACUUUAGACCAGAUCAAUGGAUUUUCAAGUACUGAAAAAAACACAUUGAUAUGUGGUCAUACUGCUGUUUCUCUGUUGAGCUAACAUACUUGUACUGAUUGUUUACCAUGACAAACAGGAGUAUGGUUUAUGCACUGCCACUUUGAUGUGCACAAGAGUUGGGGUUUGCGAAUGGCAUCAUGGAUUUGUACCUGCUGUUAAUUAAUUUAAGUUUCUGAAACAAGUAUUGCUGAAGCCUUAAACAUGUCUCUUAUCAACUAUACAGGGUGGACUGGGAACAUCUCUAUGUCAUCUCAUCUCUUCAUCUCUAGGUCCUAUUUCAUUGGAGAUGAACUAUCUUCUCAUGCAAAAAACAAAAUUUGAAACUCUUAUUAGUAUUGCAGUUGAAGCUGUUCCAGAAAUUCGAACAUUUUCUCACUCUGGUUUACGGAGUUUUGCAUUAGAGUGACAAUACUAACACUGAUUAAAUACUCUUGUCUCUGCAGGAAGAGAAUUGCAAGGAAAAAAGUAUUGAAAUACUAUUAUCUGCUCAAAGAACAUCAACAACGUUUAUUAGCAUAGGGACCCGUGAAAAAUAAAGCAUACAAUUCAGCCAGAGAACAACUAGGACUCUAUAGGAGGCUCCCCGUGCAUAUGAAAUUUUAGUCUUGCCCAAUUAUUGCCCUCUAAUGAUAAAUUUUCUAUGAAAAAAUACAUUAUUGCAAUUGUAAAAGAUUUCAAACUAUAAAAAGUUGCAUUUACAAUUUGUGACACUAGAAACUUUGACCUUUGUUCAUAGUCAAGGAAUUCAGAAUAAAUAGGUGAAGUAAUAAAAUCAGUCUUGCAGAAUCUUAUUGUAACAUGAAUAUGAACUUUCUUGGUUUCGAUGAAUACAUAUUUUAACUCGACCAAAAGCAAAAACUUUCUUCUCCUAAAGAAAAUUUUACACCGCUAACCCUUCCUAGUCAUAUAUUACAGCAGUAAUUGUGCUAUAGGAUGAUGUCCCCGAAUAGGUAGAUGAUUACUUUUUCAAUUCAUGGAAACGGGAAAAAAUAAAUUGUCAUCAUCACUAACAAGGAGGAUAAAGCAAUACAAAUAAAAUAAAUUUGGAUGGCAAUUUCAAUAGAGGAGAAAUAUUUAGAACUUUUUUUUUUUUUUUAAUUUUCCCGCCCCUCCCACAACUUUCCCAGCACUAAUUGUCAGGCACAGAAUUUGAACACUAAAUCUGAAAAAGACUAUAGAAUCCUCUUCUGGCCAUCAUAGUAGUUGAAGUGUUGAGAACUUAACAAGUGGUAUAAAAGUUAUUCAUUUUGAUUUUUUUUUUGGGGUGUUCUAAGGGGAGGGACUAUUUGAUAGGAAAAGAGGGGGAGUAAUUUGCGCCAGAAGCAUCACUUUCAAUUAUACUUUCAAGCCUCAUCUAAUCUAACUCAUAGCCAGCUGAGGAGGACCGCUUGACUCUUUAGUCAGAAUGGUGGUGCUACAUACUAUCUUUUUUUUUUUUUUUGGGUGCAGGUACGACCUCGUCUAUUCUUGUAUUUAAAAAAAAUAUUGCUGAUCCAACCUUGUCAUUAUAGUAAAAAUACCACAUAAACUAGAACUAAUUCAAAGUACUAGUUGAAACAUUUGUCAGUUGUGUCCAGUUUGGGGCCACUUUUAAUUAAGGUGGUAGAUAUAAGAAUCAUCAUAUUUGUAACUCUCACCUACACAAUGAUUACUAGUUUAGUAAUUACUAAUACUUCUUAUGCCUAAAAGACAAACAAACUAAUUGAUAUUUGAGUCGAGUUCCGUUCGAUAUGAGUUCAACCAAACUUGAAUAGUAAUUUAUAUUUGAUAAAUGGUCAAGUUUUGUUUGAGUUUGGUUCGUUUAGUAUACUAAAUGAAAUGUAUAUGUAAAAAUAUUCAAGUUACUCGAGUUUGACUUGAAUUUGUUUUGACAUAAGCUCGUUAAAACUUAGUUCGAAAAGCUAACAAGUCAAGUUUUAAUAAAUUUCAAAAGUUGUCAAACUAAUUAAACAAGUUUGAAAACUAGAAUGUUUGGUUUAUUUAAACUCAUUUACAUCCUUAUCGCUACUAAUAGUUUUAUUAGGCCACGGUGACCCACAUCACGUCUAAUGACUGUUUGUUUCAUUGUUGAGAGAACUAUUUCUGCCAUUUUGAUUUGAAAGAUGUUAAUUAACCAUCACUGAGAGGAGUUCAUUAGUGUUCAUGAAUUAUGUGAAGAAGAUUGCGAUCGACUAAAACGUCAUGCUAAUGGAUCUCUCACUCUCCCCUCCCUAAUAACCCCAAAUUUCUGAGCAUACAGAACGGCACUUACUAUAAACUUUUUACCAUACUGGAUCAAAUUUUCCUAUUCCAUUUAUAGGCAGUUUUCAUAGAACUUUUAAGCAAUUAAUAUUACCAUUUUGUAUAGGAGUAGUUGGCCAUCAAGAGAGUUUUGAGGCUCUAUUUGGGUGUAGGUCAAGGGAUCAAAUCCCUCCUGCAUUCUUAAAAAUUCAGAAUUUUCUUAAAAAAUUUUGCCAGUAAGGCGUAGGCACCCGUCUAGACUAAUGGUGGUUUGGUUCCCUCCGAAUUCCCCAUUGACUUGUUUAAGUCGCUCCCUCCCCCUAGUAUAAAGUAGAAGUAGGUGUGGCAUAGAAUUUAUCGUGUACAAAAAAAAAUGUUACCAUUUUGUUCUUUAUCAUUUAUCUUUAACAGUAUAAACAUUUACUGAAGCAGAAAGGAGGAACUUGUAAUUUCAUUCUAACUGUGACUCUGGUAUACGUCAAACUUGUGCUGUUCUUGCCUGGAGAGACAAAAAACCGAUGCCAUUUUAUUUAGCUUUCGAAUUUGGAAAAGGAUUCUGAUUAUUGUGUCAAGUGAAACCACAUGAUUUGGGAUUUUCUAGUCGAUGAGCAGUGAAAAGUGCAAACCCUUGGCCUUGGUUUUAAUGUGUUAUAGGUCCUUUUUGGUUAAGGCUUUCGGAUUGGAGGUAAGAGCAAUUAAUAGUUCAAGGAAUUAAUGUUGAAAAUGAAAAUUUUUGACAAAUUAAAAGCUUAUAAGAUUUAGAAUCUCCUCUUGAAAUUAAAAAAAAAAAAAAAAAACUUAAGUUAACUUUUUUUCACUUUUUUUAUAAACUCUCCUAACUCUCCUCACAUCCUCCCCAUCUCAAUUGCUAGGAUUUGAACCCUGAGUCGAGUAGUGGGAAUUUGACUCCUAGAUUUAAGUUAACUUCUUGUGUACAUAGAAAAAUAAAAUAGAACUUUUUGAAUUAGUCUAUUUCAUGUUGAUUUACUUAUAUGACUUUUAAUAUGUGUACAAGUAAUUAUCAAUAAUUUGCACUAAUAUGUUGUGUUUACGAUCUAAGUUUUGAUAGUCUUUUGGUAUUAAAAGCUAUUUCAGCCUUUCAAUCCGAUUUUAAUUUGAGUAUCUACUGAAGUAAAUUCCCAAAAAAGGGGAUAUUUUAAAAUCAUUUCCCAAAAGUCGGUGUUUUUUAAACUUCUUUUCAAAGGGUGAAUGAGUUAUUUUCUCAAAAGUUACAUAGGAUGCGUUUUUUUUUAUUUGUCUGCGCAUUUUUUUUUUCUUAAAAAAUGCAUUCACUCAAUGCGUUGUUUAAAAGACGCAUUCAGAAUUCUCACUAUUUGGAAACUUCUUUUGAAAAUUACCACCAUUUGAGAAUUACUCCUAUCGACUAACUACAAAUGUCUUUGGUAUAUUACCAAACGAAAAAAAUGUCUUUAGCAUCGUCACUGGACAGACAUUCAGACAAGUCGAAGCAGGAGGAGUUGGGUAGCGGUCGAUGAUCUGCCGCUGCGUAACGGACAAUUCAACGCAGAGGAGCCAACCCCACAUAUAAAAUUCUACCAUUACUUGCCUCAAUAAUAAAUUCAGUUAAAUUGAAAGUCGUUGUUUAGGUGGCCUUUCAUAUUGGAGUUAGCUCCAAAGUCAUCAAACAAAAUAGAAAGGAGGCCCACCUUUUUUUUUUUUUUAACCCGACAUGAAACGCGUGGAACGACCUUAAUAUGUGUAAAUUCAUAGACUCGUUAAUAUUAAUUGGUUCAAUUGUUAAGAAUGGAUCAUUUAUUUGAUAGAAGAUUGACGUGAAAUUACACUGAUGAGUGACUUAUAAAAUUUUUUAUAAAUAAUUAUAUUUUAAACUGUGGUGAUAGAAAUCGAAUCUAUCAUAAAAAGUCUCCUAGACUCAGAAUCAAAACAAAACAGGCAUCCCACAGUAUACUUUGACGACUCUCUCACGGAAGAAACCCAACAGUUAAUCCUCGGUUACUAACUUCUUAUGAAUCACUUGUCUCCACUUUCUUUUUCCCUUUCCUACCACUCAGCCGCAGUCCAGCCAAACCAAGAAAAAAUGCAGUUUCUGGUAUGGAACCAGGAGGCUGAUAUGUCAGGUUGAUGGGUUAUAAUCUCUUUCCCUGUCCCCUUCUCAAGCUUAUGGGUUUCUCAAACAACUGCAUCCAAUGAGGAUUCAUCUCUUUCCUUGGCUUUUCUUCACAGCCUUACUCCAAAUUUUAUCAGUCAGACAUGUUGUCUUGGCCUCUGGUCAAUGUCUUGAAGAUCAGAGGUCCCUGUUGUUGGAAUUCAAGAACAGCCCCACGUUCAACUCCACGAGUUCAACCAAACUGGUGCGCUGGACCAACAGCAACGACUGCUGCCUUUGGGAAGGGGUAGGUUGUGAUAGCUUGGGCCAUGUGAUCUGGCUGGAGCUUGAGAACCAAACAAUUUCUGGUCCACUAGAGAGUUCGAGUAGUCUGUUCAAUCUUCAGUUUCUUGAGAGAUUGAAUUUGGCUGUCAACAGGUUCAGCUCUGCUAUUCCCACUGAAUUAUCUAAACUUACAAAACUGACGUACCUGAACUUGUCUGAUGCUGGUUUUGUUGGGCAAAUUCCGGGGGAUUUGGCUAGUAUGAGCACGCUGGUUACUCUUGAUCUCUCAACCCGUUUUCCUGGAUUUCAGCCACUGGAAAUGGAGAAUCCUAAUCUACAAACGCUUAUUCAGAACCUCACAGAGCUCCGAGAACUUUACCUGGAUGGUGUCAAAAUUUCAGCUCAGGGGGGUGAGUGGGGCAAUGCUUUAUCAUCUUUACUAAAUUUAAGAGAAAUCAGCUUGUCCAACUGUCAUCUUUCUGGUCCUAUCAGCUCAUCCCUUUCAGAGCUCCAUUCACUCUCUGUCAUCAACCUUAACGACAACAACCUCUCCACUGCAGUUCCAGAAUUCUUUGCAAAUUUCGCAAAUUUGACAUCACUGAGUCUCAGCUCUUGUAAUCUAUUGGGAGAAUUUCCUGAGAAGAUACUCCAGUUGCCAAUGUUGCAGAAUAUAGAUUUGUCAAACAAUAACUUCAUUAGAGGCACUUUGCCACCAUUUCCCGAGAAUGGAUCUUUCAAGACAAUAGCCAUUAGUUAUACAAAUUUUUUGGGUUCAUUGCCAGAUUCCAUUGGUUUCCUUGGAGCUUUGUCAAGGAUAGAUCUGUCACAUUGCAAUUUCACGGGACCUAUUCCAUCAACAAUGGCAAAUCUCACAGGACUGGUUUAUGUGGAUUUCUCAGUCAACAAGUUCAACGGUUCAAUCCCGUCAUUUGGGAUGUCUAAGAACCUCAUUUACCUGGACCUCUCUCAUAAUAAUCUAACAGGCAACAUUCCUUCCACUCGCUUUGAAGGCUUUGUACAUCUUUCCUCGAUUAACUUGGGAUGUAAUUCCUUAAGGGGAAAAAUUCCACUAUCUCUGUUUGCUCUUCCAUCCUUGCAGAAACUCCAACUUCCCAAUAAUAGUUUCAUAGGUCAAGUGGAUGAAUUUCCCAAUGCAUCUGCCUCUUUCUUAGAUACACUUGAUUUGAGUUGCAACCAACUCAAUGGUUCAAUUCCAAGGUCGAUUUUUGAACUGAAAAGGCUCAAUGUACUCUCACUUUCUUCCAACAGCUUUAGUGGCAGUCUGCAACUUCAAAUCAUAAACGGGCUCCAAAACCUCACAAGACUUGAGCUUUCUUACAACAAGUUAUCAAUUGAUGCAAGCAGCGGCAAUUCAACCACAUCUGCCUUCCCUCAGCUUAGUGUAUUGAAACUAGCUUCUUGCAAGUUGCAAAAGUUUCCAGAGCUAAGAAACCAGUCCAACAUGAUCCAUCUAGACCUUUCAGACAACCAAAUUGCUGGAGAAAUACCUAGAUGGAUAUGGGAAGUUGGUGACGGAACUCUUCAAUAUCUGAACCUUUCCUGCAAUCGCCUAGUGGAUCUCCCCAUGAAUGCCACUAUGUGCAAUCUGUCUGUGCUCGACUUACAUUCUAACCAACUUCAAGGUGAGUUUCCAAAACCACCAAAAACAGCUAUAUAUGUGGACUACUCAAGCAAUAAGUUCAGGAAUUCCAUCCCACAAGAUAUUGGGAACUCUCUUCCUUUUGCUGUUUUCUUUUCUGUUUCAAAUAAUAGCCUUUCCGGAGUUAUCCCUCAAUCCAUAUGCAAUGCAAGUUACCUCCAAGUUCUUGAUUUGUCUAACAAUGCUUUCAGAGGCAGCAUACCAGACUGUCUGUUCUACAACAUGGAGAAUCUCUGGGUUCUGCAUCUAGGGAGAAACAACCUCGGUGGCACCAUUCCAGAUAAAUUUCCAAUUAGUUGUGUCCUCAAAAGUUUAGACCUUAGUAAAAAUCGUCUAACAAGACGGAUUCCAAGAUCCCUGGUCAACUGUACAUCGUUGGAAGUUCUCAAUAUUGGCGGCAAUGAAGUUGAAGAUACUUUCCCCUGCAUGUUAAAGAACUUAUCUAGUUUGCGGGUACUAGUUCUGCGAUCCAACAGGUUCUACGGAUACCUUAGCUGUUCACUGGCCAAUGACAGCUGGCAAAACCUUCAAAUCAUUGACAUAGCUUUCAACAACUUCACUGGUGCUCUGUCCCCAAAAUGCUUCUCUAAUUGGAAAGGAAUGAUUAGCCAUGGAGAAAAUGGGCAAUCAGAUCAAGACCAUCUGCAUUUUCCUGUCUUGAGUCUUAGUAACCUAUACUAUCAGGAUACUUUGAUGGUAACAUCCAAAGGGCUCGAGCUGGAGUUCGUGAAAAUUCUAAAGGUCUUCACAUCCAUUGAUUUCUCGAGGAAUAGUUUCGAAGGAAGCAUCCCAGAAACAAUAGGAGAACUCAAUGCACUUUAUCUUCUCAACUUAUCGCAUAAUGCUCUCACUGGUACAAUCCCAAAAUCAAUUGGGAACUUGACACAGCUUGAAUCACUAGACCUCUCAAAGAACCGGCUAAGUGGAAUGAUACCACCACAGCUUGCAAAUUUGACAUUCCUGUCAUUCUUGAACCUAUCCAUUAAUCAACUCCUUGGAAGUAUCCCCCGGGGCAACCAGCUUGAAACGUUUACAGAAACUUCUUAUGAGGGAAACAAAGGGCUGUGCGGCGCCCCUUUGAACAUCAGCUGCAAAGGCAACAACGAUGAUGCUCAGGUGCCUUCCUCAGUAGAUGCAAAUUCAGUGGCCGAGACCGGAGUUGAUUGGCAGUUCAUAUUCACCGGUCUGGGGUUUGGGGUAGGAGCAGCAGUUAUCGUUGCAACCCUAUUUGUCUGCAAGGAAGGGAGGGACUGGUCCGAUAAGCAUUUAGAAAGAAUUGUGCUGCUGAUUUUUCCAGGAUACAGGUUCUCUUACACCAGGUAUGAUCAAGGAAUGGUUGAGGCAGUGGAGAAUUCGGAGGACGAGUUCCUGGACGACACAGAAGAUUCUGAAUUCGAGGUAGAACACGAGGCGUUUGGACGCAAGUAUUGUGUAUUCUGCAGCAAACUUGACGUUCACAGAACAAGAGCUGUGCACAAUCCAAAAUGCACCUGUCAUACUUCAGCGCCUGUAUAUUUUACUUCUCCAACAUCUUCUUCCUCUUUGUUAAUUCUGUAUCAUCAACAUUUUUGACAUUUUUAUUCUCUUUUCAAUGUUAUUGUACAUAAGCCACAGAAAAUUAAAAAAUUCUGAACACUAAUUAAAUCCGGCAAUUUGUCGUGCACUACUUUGUGUGUGUGUGUGUUUUUUUUUUUUGAGUAAUUUUGUCAAACAUUUUGGACUCAUCGAUAUGUUUCUUCUCGUCAUCGUGCUCAGAAAAGUAGGGAACAUCAAGUAGUAAUACUUCUAAUUCAACAUUUUUUAUUAUCCCAAGAAAACGUAAAUUUUUUUUAUGUCAAUCGUCAACUCUUGCGUUACUUUUACUCGGUGACCAAUUCACCUAAAGCGAGUUAAUUUUUUCAUUUCACACUCAAACUUCAAAAACUAGGCAUUUGCAUACGUUCGACACAAGUAAAAAGAACCAAAAAAGAGUAGGGAAAAGUAGGAGAGGCCGAUGAAGACCUUAAUGCCACUUUCUAAAAACAAUAGGAGUAUUAUUGCUCCCUCCGUUGAGACUUGACCCUAUUGAUCGACUGGUCUAAGAAAACAAGUCAAAUAAUAUUGCAGAGUACAAAUUAAUUUAUUGGUUAAACAAAAGUUUGGAAUCAGAUAUUGCAUUUAGCAACUUAUUGACAAGAGUUGCUGGAGCUAAAUUUUGUGUUUGAAAUCACUCGAGCAUGUAAAAUAGACUCACCCUCAAACAUCGUUAUAUUCUCAUAAUUCUUCAAUUAUUACAAGGGUAGUAUUCAGUGGUGGAGCCAGGAUCCUAAAUGUGGAACUAUCACGUUUGAUGGAUAUAUCUGUUACACAUAUCAUUGAAUCUAAUUUUGUGACUUUAAUUUAGCAAUAAGAUCAUUCCGCUUAUUUGAGUUAGGAACAUUAAAAAAUUUAGAAAAAAAUUUUAAAAAAGUAUUUAUUAUUUGUCUUAAACACACAUUUUCCAACAUUUUUUUUAUCUUAUUUAUUUCACAUAAAAAAAUUGCUAUAUAAAAGAAAAUUUUUCAAAUUACUUUCAAUCCAAAUGGAUCAAUCAUUAUAUAAUUUGAAGUAGAUCCAAGAGUCUAACAAAAGAUAAUCAUUAUGAUAUCUUAAUAGUUAUGGAGGCAAGGCAACAAUAAAAGAUAAAUGCACAAAAUUUAGGGAAGAGCAAAUAUAAUGUAAUUUAAAAACUUCUCAAAUUUUCAAAAACUAUUUUAUGAUUUUACCAAAGCUGUGGGGGGCACAGUUGCCAACAUCAACCAAUGUUUAAAAACCAACCUGGACCAGUCGAUUGACGAUUCAGACAGGUUGAACUGUCGAUCCGCUUACUUUCCGGUUUAGAUUAGUUUCGAAAACUAGUUAGUAUCAUUAUACUUUAAACCAGUUGAAUUGCCUAUUUCAACCACUAAACCGUUGAACCAGAACGAUUUUGUGAGAAUUGCUCAAUUUAAUAUCCAACCUUAAUUAAACUAACAAUUUUAAAUUUGGUCAACUAUUCCCAUUAAUGACAUUCCAAAUUUAAUUUUUUACCAAUUAUCCAUGCAUAAUUAUCUCCAAUUAAUUAGACAAUAAUAAUUAUUGUUUUAUUCUACUCAUUAAUCACAUAUUAACUCUUAUUUAAUAUUUAUAACAUAUAAUUAACUAUAUUAGUUUUGUUUCAAAUCUUGAAUGCAUUUCAUUUAUUUGUUAAUGCCUUUUAAGUCCUUUAAUUUUUAUUAUAUAAACUAGUACCCAUAUAAUUUAGGAAACUUAAAAACAUUUGAAAUAAUAAACGUUUAACUAAUACAAGCUAUUUUUGAGUCUAAAACAAAUAAUACUACUUAGAAGAAUAGAAUGAGAAUUGAAGUGAUUAUAUUUAACAAUAUGACUCAAGUUUCUACAAAUAUUUGUUUGUUUUUUAGAUUUUAACAUUUAUUAAUAAGAUUUAUGACAUCAUGAGUUAAUAAUGGCCAACUCAACGGUUGGAUUGACUCGUGACUCAUUUAUUUUUCUGGGUCAAUAAACGGUCUAAGUUUCGAAACCUUGCCAUCAACAAUACGUAGCUCCGCCACUGGUAGUAUUAUUGUCAAAGCACAUUAUAUAGUGCUAGAGUAUCUUUGCUCACUAAGACAAAAAAAAGACCUCCGAGCAUGUGGAAUGUGUAAAUUUGAUGAAGCAACGGAUAUCAGAAAAGGGACUGGUGCGUGUAAUUACAAUUGACACAUAUAUAACGCUCUUACUGAUAGUUACCGUAAGAAGGAAAUGUUUGAUGCUGCCUUUGACUUGUUGGAAUGAUGGCAUAAAAAUUGUAGCCUAAUCCCGCUAUAUACAAUGAACCGGUUUCUCAGGCCUAAAGGAUGCACAACUUAAUGGCAUCACUUGAUAACAUGCUUGAAUGAAAGUUGUCUCUAACUUUCAUGGGAAUUGAUAGUGCUUUGCUUAGGUUGAUGAUUUGCUAACAUAUUUUGCCCCUCACCUUCCUCAUAUUCAAGAUAAAUGCUGCAGGGCCGAUAUUACUGCCAUUAUAAUCUAAUUAAUUUUGUUCCAUUUCGCUGAUACACUAUCAGGUAAUCAGCUCUAUUUGACCAAAUGCUGAACUACAUAAAUUAAUGAUUUGAGGGUGGAACAUGUUCAUACGUUAGUGGCAAAAUUUCCUUGCCUUCCCGGUAAGGGUCAUUCUCAAUAAAUGUGACAUGUCUCAUUCUCAAUAAAUGUGAUACGUGACGGGACUUGUAAAGUAUCAACGUUAACUAAAUUUCACAAAUUUUUUGAAAUUGCUGGUUUAAUAAGAAUAAAUCUAAUAUACACUAUCAUGAUUGAAUGAAUGAUAUAUAAGCAAAAUUUGAAUUUAAUAGCGUAUACACUAUCACCGUUAGACACAUGACACAUGUGUAAAAUUUGAAUUUUUUAGGUUUAAAAAGAAUAAAUCUAAUAUACACUAUCAUGGUUGAAUGAAUGAUAUAUAAGCAAAUUUUGAAUUUAACAACGUAUACACUAUCACCGUUAGACACAUGACACAUGUGUAAAAUUUGAAUUUUUUAAAUUCAAAUUUUACAUAUGUCAUUUAUCCAACCGUGAUAGUGUAUAUGCUAUUAAAUUCAAAAUUCAAAUUUUACACGUGUCAUGUGUCUAACGGUGAUAGUGUAUAUACUGAUAGUGUAUACAAGAUUAAUCCUUAAAAGUAUUCAAACAUCCUAAAAAAAUAGAGAACAUUGUAAGCAAAGACUCCCAAAAAAGGUACUAAAGCGCAUUCAACUUCACUAACCUUCUUCCAUUUUUACACCCUCAGCCUUAUGAAACUACCAUACAACCAAAUCAUCACCUUAUACAAUCAAUUUACACGGGUUUUACAGUAGGACCAGAGGCAUAGAGAAACUCAGCAGAACAAAGCAUCAAGUUGGAUUACGUUGCAGUGUUAAGCUCAACCUAACAGCACUGCCAAUAACUACCCAAAGAACUAAAAGUUCAUAAAAGACGCACGAUAGAAAUGUCAGCAAUAUUUGAGAUUUUGGGGGUGAGUUCUUUAAUGCGAAAACUCAGAGACACAAAAGCCACUGUUACAGAUAAAAGCCAGUCAAACAAUAGGCAUUGAUAAAGAGAGAAACUAGAAGAACGCAAAUAGUAAGCAAGUGCAAAGUGAAAGUCAAUCAAAUAUACUCAUCUUAAAAAUUGGUCUUCAAUUUUGUUUUAGGAGUUGCUCCUAUUUAAUAUUCACAGGAAUUACAUGAAUAUUUGAUUUUUUGCAACUACUUGUUUAAUCAAACUUUUGACAUCUAUUCCACACCCAUACGUGUGACUAUUGAAAAUCCUUGAUAUGAAAUCCAAAACUUAGGGAAGGCAAAUAAUAAAGAUGUUCCUAUGAUUUACUCUCCAGUUUUUCUUUUUUUUUCUUUUUUUUUUAAAUCCCAAAAUUGGUCCAACAUUGGUGGUCAUAAAGUUUUCCUAAUCUCAACAUUACCAAGAACACCAGGCUUCAAAGCAGAUUCAUCAAGUUCACUAUUCCCUCAUUUUCAUAGUCAACAUUAGUUUGUUAAUCAACAUCAAGUUUGUUAAUCAACAUUACUUUACACAGAACACGUGGUUUGAAAUUAAACUACUACAACUAUUAACAACCAAGUCUUUAAGCCCAACAUUGAAUAAGUUAUGCACGUAGCAUGCUUAGCAAAGCAAACAUGACAUUCCAGGCUUUAAUCAAACAAUAUCGAUCCAAAUCUACAAAAAGAAAAAGGCCCCAAGAUGGAAUUUCACUCACUUGAGCUAUAAAAAGUUGUCCAGAAAGUGUAAUAGCUGUCUGCAAAAAGACAAAAAAUGAUGAAGUCAUUACCAACUAACUAAAACAGUUACAGCCAACCCACAGCCUCUUACUUUGAAUUUCCAAUCAUUCACACUUGGUAUCAAUCCCUAUCUCUCAACCUGUAGCAAACAUACGAAACUUAUUAGAGAAUAAAAGAAAGUUUAAUCAAGAGAAAAAUGUAUACAUAGAAUAAGAAUGGAGAAGCCAGUGAUUUUCAGAGAGAAAGAAAGAAAUAUAAAGACAGAAGGGAAUUUUGAGACAGAAGCUUCGAGUAGGCGGGGGCUGAGCUAUGGAAAAUUUUUUGGAUGGGAAUUGAUCAGUCUUCUCAGAAUUGAGCCCUACCCCGCUGUUGCAGAUAAAGGAAUUUGAGGGAAGACCUCUGGUUUUUCCAACUCCCAGUAUUUUACCCACCAGCAAAGAGGGGAAAUUUGUUUUUGCACAGAAAGGGGGAGAAAAUUUUAUUUUUUUUUUUUACGGAAAGGAUUGGGAAGAGAUGGCUCUGAGGUCUUUCUGUCAAUUUUUCUAAGGAACACUCUGACAUGAGAUAUUCCAGCAACACCUCUCCCCAUUCAUCAGAUUUGGCAUCAACCAAUCUAACAAUUUACCAUUCAUCCAGUAUCUUGCUCAAAAUAAUUAUUUACUUUUUAACCACGAAGACGCACACAUUAAAAAGCCUUGUUCCAUUUUUUCCACUUGACCAGAUGUUCAAAAAAAAUUGAAGCACAAGACAAAAGAGACAAAAGAAAGAAACUUUUGACGGCUAAGAAACAGAGAUUACACAAACAAACAUGAAAAAUGCUUUAUUUCUCUAAUUCUUAAAACCCCAAGGAACCAUACGGAAUGUCCUUUGUGAGGAGUUCAACAAACAUUUGCACAGAAGAAAAGAGACGAAAUGAUUAAAAAGAAAAACCUGCCAUUAGUUUCUGUUCAUUCUUCUUCUAUCACAUAGCUGCCAUUUAAACAAGAAGCGAGUUUUAGAAUACCAAAAAAGAGGACAAAGACCUAAAAGGAAACUGUAAAAUAAAUAAAAUUUAAAAAAAAACUACUAAAAAAUAAUCACUUAGUCAGUAAAAUACUGUCAAAACCUCCAUUAAAAUCACAAUCACUUCCACUCAAUUUUCAUCAUCUUCUUCCACCUAAAAAAUGAAAACCAAAAAAAAAAAAAAAAAGCCAUCUCUCCAAGUCCAAAUUAAUCUAACAAAAAAAUAUCCUUAAAAGAGAAAGAAAAAAGAAGCAUUACUAGUUUUCUAGUACUCAGGAACGAGUAUAUCAAAGUGAAAAAAAUAAACCAAAGUUUUCUUGCUAAUCUGGGAGUAUAAUAGAGAAAAAAUCUAAGAGCAUAACAUACAAAGGACACAAGAAAGGGGAGAAAGUGAUUUGUUGCUUUUAGCCAAGGAAAGAUCAGCAAAAAAAUGGCACAGAAAUAGAAGGAAUUUGUUAACAGGUAUCUUGGGAGGAAAACAUCUAGUCACAUAUUAUGAGUGACCAACUAGUAUUUAUAGGAGUACAAACCUAACCGACUAUUUACAAGAAUACCCUUACUAAUUUAUUAUCUAUAAGAAUACUAAUAUUCUCCCAACACUCCCCCUCAAGUUGGAGCAUAUAUAUCAUAAGCACCCAACUUGUUACAAAUGUAUUUCACCCUAGAGCCCCCUAAACUCUUGGUAAAUACAUCAGCCAAUUGAUCUACAGACGGUACAUGAGAUGUCUUGAUGACCCCGUCAAGCAAUUUCUCUCGAAUGAAAUGACAAUCAACUUCAAUAUGUUUUGUCCUUUCAUGAAACACUGGAUUAGACGCAAUAUGAACAGCCGCCUGAUUAUCACACACUAAAUUCAUAGGCUGUUUAUGCUCAAACCCAAGUUCCAGUAACAUGCUCUUCACCCAAACCAACUCACACACAGUGUGAGCCAUAGCGCGAUAUUCAGAUUCUGCACUUGAUCUGGAUACAACUGUUUGCUUCUUACUCUUCCACGACACUAAAUUACCACCAACAAACACACAAUAUCCUGUAGUCGAUCUUCGAUCUGAGGCAGAACCAGCCCAAUCUGCAUCACUAUAUCCUUCAAUAUCAGUGUGUCCAUGAUUUUGAUACAGCAACCCUUUUCCAGGAGCACUCUUAAGAUACCUGAGAAUCCGUAUAACAGCAUCCCAAUGACUAGUACGAGGGGUAUCAAGAAAUUGACUCACAACACUCACUGCAAACGAAAUGUCAGGUCUUGUUACAGUGAGAUAAUUUAAUUUACCCACAAGUCUUCGAUAUUGCUUAGGAUCAUCAAGUAAUGCACCUAGAUCUCCUGCUAAUUUCACAUUGGGAUCCAUAGGAGUAUCCACAGGUCGGCAACCUAACAUCCCAACUUCACUCAACAUAUCGAGUACAUAUUUUCUUUGACAUAAAUAAACCCCAUAUUUAGACCGAGCUACCUCAAUACCCAGAAAAUACUGUAGAUGACCUAAAUCCUUUGUCUGAAAGUUUGCCUGCAGAUUGGAUUUAAGUUUCUGGAUCCCCACAACAUCAUCACCUGUAAUCACAAUGUCAUCCACAUAAACAACUAAUAAAAUUUUACCAGCAUUAGAAUGCCGAUAAAAUACAGAGUGAUCUACUCCACAUCUUGUCAGACCGAACUCCAUGACAACACUACUAAACCGGCCAAACCAAGCCCUCGGAGACUGUUUCAAUCCAUAUAAGGAUUUUUUCAAACGACAAACCAACCGCGGAUUCUCCCCCUGAACAACAAAUCCAGGAGGUUGUUCCAUAUAUACCUCUUCUUUCAAAUCUCCAUGCAGAAAUGCAUUUUUCACAUCCAACUGAUGCAAUGGCCAAUUAUAAGUGGCUGCCAAAGAGAUAAGAAGACGAACAGAGGUAAUCUUUGCAACAGGAGAAAAAGUUUCUAAGUAAUCUACUCCAUACACCUGAGUAAAUCCUCUAGCUACCAGCCGAGCCUUCAAUCUAUCAAUAGAACCAUUAGGCUGCACUUUUAUAGUGUACACCCAUUUACAACCAACAACAGGCUUACCUGAAGGACGAGGGACAAGAUCCCAAGUACCAUUUUGUUCCAAAGCAGACAUCUCUUCUUGCAUAGCUAAUCUCCAACCAGGAUGAUUAAGAGCAUAGGUAAUAGACUUAGGAAUGGAGAUAGAAUCAAGAGAAGCAACAAAAGAAGAAUAUGACAUAGAGAGACGAGAAUAAGAAACAAAAUUAGAAAUAGGAUGGGAAGUACAAUGUCUCUUACCUUUGCGUAAAGCAAUAGGAAGAUCUAACUCAGAGGAGGGCGUCAUACCUGGAUUUGAAGAUUGAGAGUUAAUUGGUGAAGUGCGUGGCAUAUCAGGAACUUUCUCAACCAUGGAACGACGAGAGUAAACUUGAAGAUGAGGACGAGAUAAUCGAGCUAUGGAAUCUGGUGGACUAGACAACUCAGGUAAUAAAGGGGAAGGGAUUGGUAAAACAGGAGAGGAAAAAGAGGGACACUGGUCUAAUUCACAAGACAUACUUUGCUUGAUAAAAUACGGAGUGGAUUCAAAGAAAGUAACAUCAGCACAAGUAAAAAAUCGAUUUAAAACUGGACUGUAACAUCUAUACCCUUUUUGCGCUCGUGCAUAUCCUAAGAAAAUACACUUAAUAGCACGAGAAUCUAAUUUAUUCAUCCCCGGAGCAAGCUGAUGAACAAAGCACACACAUCCAAAAAUACGAUGAGGCAAUUUAAACACAGGUUCAUGAGGAAAAAGAAUGGAGUGAGGUAAUUGACCUCCAAGAAUAUUAGAUGGCAUGCGAUUAAUUAAAUAACAUGCAGUUAGAACUGCAUCACUCCAAAAUUGUUUGGGCACAUUCAUGUGCAAUAACAGUGUUCGAGCAAUUUCGAUUAAAUGCCCAAUUUUUCUUUCAGCAACUCCAUUCUGUUGUGGAGUGUGAGGACAAGAGGACUGAUGAAUAAUACCAGACUUAGUCAUAAAGGUAUUAAAAGGAGUGGAAAAAUAUUCUUUCGCAUUAUCACUGCGAAGUAUACGUACAGGCACACCAAAUUGAUUCUUUAUUUCUGCAACAAAUGCACAAAAAAUGGAAUAUAAUUCUGAACGAUCUUUCAUUAAAUAAAGCCAUGUAACUCUGGAAAAAUCAUCAACAAAGACUACAAAAUAUUUAAAACCUAACUUUGAAGUGACUCGACUAGGACCCCAAACAUCAGAAUGAACUAACAAAAAGGGUUCAGAAACCCGUUUAUUGACUCUAGGAGCAAAAGAAACACGAUGAUGCUUUCCUAACUGACAAGACUCACAUUCUAACGAAGAUAAUUGAUUCAAAGUAGGAACCAACUUUUUCAAAUUUUGUAAAGACGGAUGACCUAAACGACAGUGAAUUUCAAGAGAAGAAACAGUAGCAGGACAUGCUAUCGGACCAUUGAAGUUGAGAAAAUAAAGACCAUUAUGCUCAUGCCCUCCACCAAUCGUCCUCUUUGUCUUCAAAUCCUGAAUGACAACAGAAUCAGGAGAAAAAGUAACUGUACACUGUAGAAAUUUAGUGAGCUUACUAACAGACAUUAGAUUAAAUGGCAAAUUGGGUACGUAAAGAACAGAAGACAGCGGAAGUGAUGGAUUAAUUUCUAUAGUGCCUAGUCCUUUAACUUUAGUGGUAGAUCCAUCAGCUAAAGUAACAUGAGGAAAGGGAGUAGACUCUUGAAAAUUAGAAAAAAUUUUAGAGGUACCUGACAUAUGAUCAGUAGCCCCGGAGUCAAUAAUCCAUGAGUCAUUACCUUUUUGUGCUAAAGAAGCAGAGGGAAGAGAUGCGUGAUUUGUAGCUUGGUACUGUAAGAAUUUAACAUAAUCUUCCUCGGAUAUAGUAACAGUUUUCUGGGACCCAUGUGCUGAAGAACUUGAUUCAACUUGAUCAGUGGUAACCCCAUUAGCAAAACUUUCAACCAUAGCGAAUAGCACUUCAAACAAAACAGCAAUCAAAAUUCACGGUGAACAGUGCGCCGUGAACAGUGCGUCGUGAAUAGUACCGCGUGAACAGUGCGCGAUGAACAGCACGCGCGAUGAUGAACAGUGCGCGUGAACAGUGCGCGAUGAACAGUAUCGCGUCAAGACUUUUGCUAGAUAUUUAACCCUAACCCUAGGACUUUUGCUCUGAUACCAUGUUAACAGGUAUCUUGGGAGGAAAACAUCUAGUCACAUAUUAUGAGUGACCAACUAGUAUUUAUAGGAGUACAAACCUAACCGACUAUUUACAAGAAUACCCUUACUAAUUUAUUAUCUAUAAGAAUACUAAUAUUCUCCCAACAGAAUUAUUAACCAUGAUUACUUGAGGGAGGAGAGAGGGAAGAGGGAGAUGAAGAAGAAGGGAAGAAAACAAAGAAGGGGAUAACCACCCACUCCACCUCACAAUUCCCCAAUCAGCUCCGGCCACAUAGGUGGACAACCAACAUAAGGUGGCCUGGGGGUGGGGUGGUCUUCACUCUCAUACUAUAUUGGAUAAUAUGUGUGAUUGGCUUAUCAUGACAAAGGAUGUAAACAAACAAACAAACAAAAAACAGAAGGUAUAGGAAGUACCUGGUUCAGAAGAAUAUUCAGUCUCUGAGAAAGCUAAAUUCAUAGUUGGAAAAAAACACAAUGAGUUUGUUUGGAUAAGAAUUUAUUUGG